Molecule: long non-coding RNA, 61848 nt
Filed under: Phaseolus vulgaris (common bean)
Lineage: Eukaryota; Viridiplantae; Streptophyta; Magnoliopsida; Fabales; Fabaceae
Description: long non-coding RNA (PVUL_LNC001858)
Source: RNAcentral
UGGGAUCAACCUUAGGUCCACUCACAAACUUGUCUUUGAUCGUCCGACUAUUCAAGAAUGUUUUUUUUUUCUUUCUUGAGGUAAAUAUGUCUUUCUCUAGCCAUGUUUCUAUUUUUGAGGUUUUCAAGCGAAAGAAGUCAGGAUUUUGAGGUAAAGGUCGUGUUGGUGUUUGAUACUAGUUCGGGUCCAAGAUCAGUGCAGAGUACUCCAUCUGUUCUGAAAUACUUCGAAUACCGUGAUUGAUCAUAAUAAUUUCAAUAGAGUUGAUAUUGAAACUUGAUUGAUACAAAUAAUUUCUCUUGAUGUUGAAAAAUUGAAAAGGUUGAAACAAGAUUGAUAAAGUUAACUCUCUCUUUUAAAAAUUAAAAAUAAAGCUAGUAAAUAUUUCAAUUAGUUUAAAUUAAUGAUCACAUUAUAAAAAAAAGUCUAUAUUUCAUUUAUAGUUUAUAUUUUUCUAAAUUUAACAAACCACUUUUUUAAGACAAAAUGGUAAUUCAACUGAUAGAGUGAAUUUUCAAUAAAACAAAAUAAAUAAUAGAGAACCUGAUUUAAAUAAUGGUAUUCGAGUUAAUAAAUUGGUGAGAUAGGAGUAUGGUCGGUUGCCGCUCACAAGCUUUUGACCGAGUCAAGCUAGGGCCAUUCAUUUAUAUACACCUCACAUCUUGUUUAUUUUUGUUCUCCAAAUCUUCAUUUAAAGUGGAAAAACUUGUGCAUCAAAUUAAAAUUUAAUAACUAAGUUAAGAUUGCAUUAAAUAAAAAGAAUUAAUUAAGUACUAACUAUCAAUUAAAUUUAAAAACUUUAAAUUGAUUUUUUAUUAAAAAGAAUAAUUUUAUUGAGUAUUUCACUACAAGGAAAUGUAAAGAUAGCUUUAAAAUUUAACGUCUAGUAACAUGAGAUAUUAUUACAAUAGAUGAAAUCGACUCUAAGACGACAUCAAAUAUUUAUAAUUUUUCUAUAAUAUUUAAUACAUAAAAUUAUUAUAUAUUUUAAUGAUAUAUAAAAAUAUUCAAAAAAAAUUUAACGUCAAUCAAUUUAAAUAAAUAUUAAAUAUAUUUUAAAAAUAAGAUAUUACAAUGAAUUUAACCAAUUCAAAUAAUAUUAAAUAUGUUUUAAUAAUAAACAUAUUUUAAAAAAUAUAUUACUCUAAUAAUAUUAAAUAUGUUUUAAUUUUUGUAAAAAAAUUGGGUUAGCAUCGAUUAAGUAAAAUUAUUUUUUAUUAGAAAUGUGUAAAAUUAAGUUUCUUAUUUUUUUUAAAAUUUGAUAUGAAUUUUAAUAUUUUUUAAAAUUUCUCAUUAUCCUUAGAAUAUUACAAAAAUAAGACUUAAGAAUAAUAUUAAAAAGUAUAAUGCUCAACUCAACGACAGAUAAAAAAACUCUUACAUAUAUUCCCAUUUAAGAAUGAAGUUUUAAAAUUUAUAAAAUGACAUAAAAUAUAAAAUUAGAAUUAAAGAAAAAGAAAAAGAUUAUUUCAAAGUAAAAUGAAUUUAAAAUGGAAGUUUUUUCUCAGUUACAAUCACAUAAUUAAUAUUCUAAAUAUUAUAUCUAAAAAUAUAAUAUACAGUAACUUUAUUAUUUUAAUUUGACCAUCCAAUUUUAAUCUAACUACUUUAGUUGAAAAAAAAGGCGGUUGAUCUUGAUUGUUGAUUACUUUACAUUGAUUACAUAAUUAAUAAAAAAAAACAGUGAAACAUAAGUUUAAAUAUGUUUUGGUUAAUGUAGUGGUGGAUUAGUUUAAAUAUUAACUUGAUUCUAAUUUUUUUUAACAGAAAUUGUUGACUUUUUUAUAAAAAAUAUAAAUAAAUAAGAGGUAUUUUAGGAAUACCUCAAUUCUUAUACAAAAUAUCAAUCUAAGUCUUUUUCUCUCGGUUGCACAGACAAAAAUACUUUAAAUUUUAUCUCAGAUACAAACACUCAAGAUUUCAACCAAAGAUUAUGAAAAAUUAAAAUAACAAGAAAAAAUGAGAAUGAUACCAGAAAUUUUUAGAUGGAAAACCCUUUAAAUAGAAGUAAAAAACCACCGGCGAGAGAGUCAAAACUUCCACUAUAAUGGUACUGGGAGUACAAUGAAUUCCUCUCAGGCUAAUAGAUAAAUAACCCGAAAACAAAUUCUCUCUAUAUGGGUUAAACACUUAUACCCAAGAGAAGAAAUAGAGAGUAUAGAAAAAAAAAAAAAAGAGGAAGCAAGUGUUUGUUGUUGUGUGUUAUGUGUUACAUUGCUCGAAAGAAGUCACUAUAUAUAGUGGUUCUAGGAGACAACAAUAAUAAAAACAAUUAAUUGAAAAUAACUUCCCUUUGAUUACAAUUAAUUGUGGCAAGUAACCUCCAUUUAAUUGCAAUUAAUUGUCAACGCUAAGUAACUUCCUUAUUAUUGCAAGAAAACAGAAAGGUGGGUCAUAACCCACAAACACCUAUAAGAUACACCAUUAAAAUCUCUAUAUUUAUCAGGUAGACCUCCAAAUAUUUUUUUGACAAACAUAAGUGAAUUAAGAUACUAAUCAGAAUAAGAAAAACAUAUCCCGGAUUCUUUGCACUUUACUUAGUACCAAACUUCCAGUGCCAAACUUCCAGUGCGCUAAAGUAAUUGUUGAUGUGAGAAAUGAUUUACCUUUUAAUUAAGUUAAACUAAUGUUUAGAGGAAAUGUUAAAGUUGUGUUGAUGUUUGAUUUAGAUUAGGUAUAUGGAGUGGGAGGUGAUAAAAUAGGAGGAUAAAUGUCACCUCAAACUCAAAGUGAUGGUGUGGUGGUAGAGUGAGUGAGGAAAGGGAUGGAAGAUGAUAAUGCACCUAUCCUCCUCCAAUUUCUAACACAGACCCCACUUCUUUAAUGCGCGUCCUUUUCCCUUCAAACAAACAACGGACCAUUGGGUGUGGAAACCAACCUUCCACGCCAACCGUCCGAUCAAGAUCAAUCCCUAACCCUCACGCACUACUACUGUUAGACCCACUUCCCUCUCCAGCCACCAAAGAGGGAUUAAGGGAAUCAAACUACCAAACACUCCACCCUCUUCACUUUACAUCACAAAUACCUUAUCUCACUUUGCAAAAUCUUCUUCUUCUUCUCUCUUUCAAGUUUUUUAUGCAUUUCACGUCUCUCAGAAGAAGAGAUAACACCAAAAUUUUGAUGAAUGGAGAUACAUUAUUAGAAUAUACGUGUGUUUAGGGGCCCAAAUUUAUGGUCAGUGUACCAUCAAGAGGAGCAUCAACUUGAAAAAUCAUCAUAAGACCAAGAAAAUCAUUAUCAUCCUGUAGUUUCUAGCAUGGACAAAAUUUAUAUACACGUCUAUUAUUUGACUAUAACCUAUUUUAAUAUAAUUUGCGUUAUUAUUUUAUGAUUCACUUGAAAAAUUGAAACUAUUUUGAAUUUCGAAUCAAGAUGUAUAGAAGAAUAACAGUAGGUGAAAGUGGUGUUCAAGUAGCUGAACAGGAAUCACGAAGCAAAAUAUUUAAAAAUUAAGACCAAUUCAUUGCAGGAGUGUUUAUUUAUUAGCAUAUACAACGUAGUCGCUGCUUCUGAUUGAUCGGAAUUCAGAACAAUUGCAACAAAGGAGAGGGAACAUUAGAUCAUAAUAUAUAAGGGAUUGGAAUGAAAUCAUCGACCAUUUCAUGUCUGGUCAAUGGCGGAGAUUGAGAGGAAGAGUUGUGGAAGAAGUUGUCGUUGAAAUCGGUGCAAGAGAAAAAUUCAGGGAAGGGUGGCAAACUAACAUGGGAAUUGAAGGUAUUGGUGGUGGUGGUGGCGGUAGUGGUAGUGGUGGAAGGAGUGGUGGCAGCAGCAGCAUAGCGAGCAAGACGGUCCUUAGCAAUGGCAAGGUCGUGUUGAAGCUCCACCAUCUUCCUCUGCAGAAGAGCUAUGGCACCAAUACAUCCAUAAAUGGGGUCCCUGAGCCUGGCUUCUGCUUCAUAAGCAAGAGAAUUCACCGUGUCCUCUCUCUGCUCCUCGGGAACUUCAAUGAGGAUCUUGCUCACAUUGCUGGCUCCAAACACCUUGUGCACCUUGGCAAAUUUCUUGCACUCAUCAGAGCGAAAGUAAGGUGCAAAUAUACAAUUGGGUAUGCAUCGUCUCUUCAAGAACUUGCAGGCUGCACAAGAGGAACUUGAACGUGGCUCGUAACCCUUCAUGGCUCUCAAAAUAUUCCUUCCACUUUACUAUAGUGUUUGCACUUAUAAGUAUAUGGUUCUCUCCAAAGGUAUUUUGCAGAAUUGGUAUUUAAGGCAAACCAUGUUACCUUGCCCAUUGGCUCAGCUAGGUCGCAGGUAAGGGACUUGCAUGGGCCAGUGUUGUUCUUUUAAUGCAUUUAUUUUCAUUUGUUCAUAAUUUUUAUUUAUUUAUUUUUGCACCUAUGGCAUCCAUUCAAAUUGGGAGUGCAAAAGUAGGUCCAAAUAAUUGAUUCAUGUGGACAAUGGGUGGUAUGAGUUGGUAGUUUUCAAGUUAGAUAUGAUAGUUCAUGAAUAAAGAUGAGGAUAUUUUGAUUGAUAGAAGAAAAGAAAUAUUCUCAAAAAAAGCUAAAUUAUCCCUUGGCAGUGAGAGGUAUGGUCAUUAGAAAGAAAGCAAUAAGAUCGAAUUGAGUACUUUAAAUGUAGUUGGAAUCUUCAGUACAACAGAGUGGAGCCAAAAUUAAAGCUAGUGAAAUGUUGUUUUUAUGCUUUCUUUAUCAUUAGAUAUUUCGUUUUUUCCGUUAUUUUUUACUUCUGCUACCACCCUCAUCAAUCUCCCUUUUAUUACAUCCACUACUAUAUAUUGCUUUUUAACCACAUAAUUCAGAAAUUAAAUUUUCAAAAAUUAAGAUGGAACUAAUUAUAACUAAUGUAAACAUAACAACGAAUACCUGUCAAAUUUAACCACACCAAAUUAAACAUAUUGUUGCAUAUAGUAACUUUUAAUUAAGUAUUUCCUUUUUAUUCACAAAAGAAGAAAUACAAGGUGUCAGCUGUGAGUACCCUUUAUCUUUAAUAUUUACCAAAUUAGUUUGGUUAGCAAGUAAUGAAUUUUAAGUAAUGUUUUUUUUAUAGUAUUUUAAGUAAUAUAUUUAAGGAUAACUCAAAAUUGAUUUUAGUAGUCAAAAUUUAUAUAUAUUUUUUUUGAUGUUUUAGUAAUUGUGAUGUGACCAACUUGACACGACUUCAGGGAUUGAUGUGGUAGAAGUCGUGCCAACUUGACACAACUUCUACAUAUGAAGUCGUGCCAAAUUGACAACUUGUCCAAAUUUAUAAUUUUUUUUAAAACAACCCCAUUUUAAUAAAAACGAAAAAAAAUCCCAUAAUGGUCAAAACCUCUAAAAAAAACUAUUUUGUAAUAAGAAAAUUGUUGAAAUAAAUUUUUAGCCUAACAAUCAAAUUUUUUACACAAACUAUACAUCCAUAUAGAGUUAACAUAAUUUUUUUAAUAUCAUAAUUUAUACUGAAAAUGUUUGACACAUAAAAAAUAAUAAUAACUCAUUUUUUAUUGCAAGUAUUUAGACCUAAACCUUGAACUAUGAAUAAAAAUUAAUAAACUAAUUUUGCUGAAAAAUUCUGGAAGAAAAAAUAUAUUUAAUUUGAUAUAUUUAAUAAAAAAUGAAUUGUUUAGGAUAAAAGCAAAAGCAGGUGGUAAUGAUAAAGUGAUUGACUUCCAUUUUGCAAGCGUGGGCAAAGUGAGUUUAUUAUUAGAUUUUAUGUUUAAGCAUUUUGGGAUAGAAAAGAUGGAUGAACAGGUAGAAGGUUAAACGGAGUGACUCUCUAUCAUUGCACAUCACUGUGUGGGUGCAACUGUAAAGAUUUCCUAUCUCAUUAUGGAAUCUAAUAUAAUAAUUGCAGAUUGCAUUGUUAGGUGCACUGAUCAUAACCCCACCUUUGGACCCACAUUUUCACACUUUUAAAUUAUUCAAAUUACACUAUUUUCUCUAUUUUCUUAUGUAAAUAUCAAAUAUUACUUUCUUUUUCCCUCUUUAUUCAAUUUCGAUUUCCUAAAAUGAGGUUGACACCACUAACAAUUCUCCUUUCUUUAAAUAAGAUUUUCGGAUAGAUUCUUAUAUAUCUUAACCAAUCACAAUAAUUUUGAUAAUUGAUUUGUUUAACUUAAAACUCAAAAAAUAUAAAUAUUUAACUAUUUUUGUGUUUAAGUAUAUGGAUAAAUAAAAAAAUAAUUGAAAGUACGUAACAUCAAAAGAGCAUUUGAAAUGUGCAAAAGAUACAAAUAUAUAUGAAAGAAAAAAACUAAAAUUCUUUGUUGGCUAAAAAGAGAUCAUUCAAUCUAAGGUUGAAUGAGAAUCCAAUAAUUUUUUUCUGAUUUAAUCUAUUUGAUCUUCUUUCUAGACUAGAGUUAGGCAUGUGGAAGCUUUAGAGACAAACUGUCUUUUGAGUACAUUUUCAAUUAUGAUCUCUUAAUUGGAUUAACAAUAACUAUCACCCUAUAAUAAUCAUGACUCGUAAUGAAUAAUAUCAUGUUUUAAAGUACAUUGUACCAUUGUUUUCAAAAUAAAAGCAUAAAAAUUGACUAAACAACUUAAGUAAGUGAAUGUUCCCACAUCACUCAUAAUAAGUUCAUAUAUUACAUUUUCAUAAGUUUUAAUCUAAGGUGGAUUCUUAUAUACAUAUUGUAAACUUUUUUAAUUUUUAUUUGCAAUUUAUUUUUUCUUAACUUGUUAAAUUGAAUUAAUUAUUAUAAUUAAAUAUUAAUUUAAUAUGAAUAAAUAUUUUUAAAAAUAUAAUAAAUAAUAUUUCAACAUGCAUACAAAAUUUCAUAACAUCCAAACAAUUAUUUUAACACGUCUACCAAAUUUAAAGUAUAAAAAGUUUAAUUUUAUAAUAUAAAAAAAUAACAGUAAAAUGUUUAUUACAUUACACAAUUAUUUUGAUCAUUCUGCCGCCUAAAACAUUUCCAAAUAUAUUAUUUAAAGUUAGACUGAAAUUUUCCGUGCAAUUAUUUGUCACGAAGAUGCACUCUCCUUUAUACGUAUGUGUAAGUAAAAUUAGGAUAUUAAAAAUAUUCUUGAGUGAUAUCUCAUUCCUUUCAUUAUCAUAUUCAAAACUAUUAUCAUAUGUUUGACUCUUAUCUUUAAUAAUUAUAUCAUCUUUGUAUUAUAAUGCUUGCAUACAUUAUAUUCUUUUUCAUUUGUGCUAGUCUAAGUGUAAACUUUAUACUAAUUUAGGUGGAUGUUGUUUGGAAAAGAGAAAUAGAAUUUUUAUAAUUGUGAUAUAUUUUUAUAUGGAUGGAAACAUCUUGAAAGUUUUUUUUUUAUUCUUUUAUCAAUAAAAAAAUACGUUAUAUUUUUUUUUCUAGUGUAAGUUGUUCGAUGUAUAAUUACAAAUUAAGAUUGAAACACUUGAAAAAGUUCUUCCUCAUAAUUUCUUAUUAAAUUUGGUUAUACAACUAUUUGUUUUCUCUUUGUGGCGUUGGAAUAUUUUCAAAAUUCGAAAUCAAUUUCCAUUAUAUUGGAUUUUGUACAUAUUGAAUUACACAGCAAAAACUUGUCUUAAGAAAUAAUUAGUUUUGUAACAAUUAGUUUGUGUAAUGAUUAUAAUUUUUGUGAUAACUGGUAUCUUAACAACUAAUUUUAUAACAAGAAGUUUUAUAAAACAAAUUGAAAUAGAUAUGUGAUAUAAUAGUAUAAUGAAAAUAAAACUUGAACCUACUUUUAAACAAAUAAAGAUAAAUUGAAUAAAAUUAUAAUAACAAAUAUUAUUCAAAGUUAUGUCAACUAUAGUGUUGGAGAUCCCACAUCGACUAGAAAUUAGAGUCUUUCAUAGUAUAUAAAUGGAUGCAAACCUCACCUCAUUGAGUUUUAAGGGGUUGAGUUAUGUCUAAAAUUUACUUCUUAAUAUAUAGUUACAAACCAAAUUAUAAUCUAGAGUUAUCUCAUAGUUGUUCACCUUCCUAACUUGAUAUAUUUUACUAAAGUUAUAUCUCAUAGCCUACUUCUUACAUACAGAAUUGUAUUUAUGGAUUGAGGUAUCUCAUUUACGUUUUUAUUGAUUAAAAAAAAGAGAAUAUAUAAUCUAAUAACAGAUAAUCUUUAUAUUUAAGCAUCUCUCUCACUAGGUCAACAAAAUCCAAUUUUGUAAACAAUAAGUAAUAUAAGAACCUACUUUAAAAUUAUUAUAAUAAAUCUAAAAUAUUAUUUUCUUUUUACAUUGUUUAUAUUUUAGAUAUUGAAAAAAAAAAUUAUCCAAACAAGUAAUAAUUCUCUCUCUAUAAAUUAAUAUAAAACAAAACAAACACUUUUUUUUCUAUUAUAUGAUGUAUUUAUUGAAAUUGAAUUUGUCUCUUGAUAGAACUAACAAACUGCUAAUAUAGUACAACACUCAUUUCCGUAAAUAGGAUAAUUUCCACUUCGACUUAGCAAUAUAAUAAGGAAUGGUUGAGAAAGAAUAAUAAUGAGAAAAAUAAUAGAAUUUAUAGUUAAGAAAUGGUUCACUCUAAAUUAACUUGUAUCCUCACAAACAUAAUAGAAUGAGACAAUUGUAAGCAAAUGUUUUACAUGAUAUACAAUAACUUGAACGCGCUAUUACGAGAAAAUUUUGGUUUUCCGCCAUCAAUAAUGAAAUGAAGUACUACAUAUGAAUGAGUAUCUAAUAAGGUUUAGGCUUUUAAUUCCUGCACCCCCAAUUUUGAACCUGCACCAUCACCUUACCGAAAUGACAUAAAUGCCCUCAAGGGUUUUUCAUUUCCUCCUUCUUCCUAUCUUCGUUGCACUAUUCCGGUUGUGCUCAGAUGUGUGGUUCAUUGGUUUUGCUGCAGUUGUAGCACUUGUGUUCAAUUGUUGAUUUGCAUUUGCUUCUAACUGGUUUUCAACACAUUCAAACGCAUAUUGUCGUUGAAAAGUGCAUAAUGUGAUUACUUUUGGAAUAUGUUUUCGAAAUAAGGUUUUCAUAACAUACUUUUAUUAUUGAAGGAAGAGGUCAUUCACCUACACAUUUGAAGUUCUUCCUUCUAGUCCAUUUCUAUUAAAAGUGUCUAUUCAUUCUCCAACUCAAGUUGAUUCCAUAAAAUGUCAAAGAAUCCUCUAUAUCUUGCUAUUGAAAUCCUAUCAGGAAGUUACAUGGUUGCAGGUGUGGACAAGAGCUCUCUACAGCACAAAGAAGCCUAUUUCAUGAUGGGUGCACUGGAGGAGGCUUGUUCACUGGGUUCUACUGUAAUGCUAGAGGAUAUCUCAGAGUUGGUUCCUCUCUGAAGGUCAUAAAUUUUGGAAAGAUUAGAGCUAUGGCCUGGACUCAGUUCACAAGCUGGACUCAGAGGUUUUGUUGUUGCAUUCAUGUGCUUCAUGUAAAGUUUUAAGCAGUUGUUGCUGCAUUUUAUAGGCCAGGAAAUUUGUUGCUCCUUUGUUUUGGAUGUUAAACAUUAAGGGACUUAUAGGAGGUAUAGUCUACCAAUCAGAACUUCAUGAAAGCAUCAAUCUUUCAUGCUUCUUUCAUAAUAGUGAUAUAUGCUUUUUAACCAUGAUUUUUUUGAAUGUUUUUAAGUGCAGUUAUUUGAAAUGUCCUUAUGUGCAAUGAUUUGUAGCUAAUGUCCAAUGUUCUGUAAGUUUUUUCUUUUGUUUUUUUGGAUUGAGGCUUCUAGCCUAACCUCUCUUUUUUUUUGUGUAAUAAAAUUGAACAUCAUAUUUUUUAUUCAAUUUAUUAUUUAUCGAUAAAAAAAAUAUAUUUAUGGAAUAAGUUUUUCAUAAUAAUUUUUGUAAUAGACAUUUUGAAAUAUAUUUAUGGAAUUGUUGUUUUGAAAUCAUAUUCUACAAAGGUUAUUUCAAAAAUAUGAUUUUUUUGGUUUUUUUUCUAUAUAUGGUUGUUUUUAACUGUUAAAUAUUAACUGUACUCAUGUAUAUGUAAAGGAAUAUGGUGAGAACUAAAGAAGGAGGUUAUCAAAAUAAUUGUACAUUGUUAGAUGAAGAGAGCGGGGUGCUAGUAAAAGUGUUUAAGGUGAAGAAGAUAAAGAAAAUAUUGUGGUAACUGAGGAGGUCGAUGUAGUGGAUGAUGAAUGAUUGUUUUUUCGUGCAUUUGAAAGUAUUUUUUAAAUUCGUAAUUAGUUUUUGGAUUAUAUGAUCCAAAAGUUUUUUUUAGCAUUCAUAAGUCUUUUUUUAAAUGCGUGUCUAGAUUACAUAAUCCGAAAUCAACUCUAUCGAGGUAGCACAAGAAGGAUAAAAAAGUAUUUUCAUAUUUUGUAUGGGAUGACAAAAGAACAUAUGAAGGUGAAAACAAUCAUGAUGAAGCCUAUCUUGGAUGCGCGUGUAGUGGAGGAUGAAGCCUAUCUUGAAGGCCCAUGAAGUGGAGGAUGCAGCCUAUCCAAAAUGAACUUCAUAUAAUUAUAGAAAAAUAUGGCUUCUUCUUCCUGCAUCCCCACAAUUUUAAAUAUUCCAACAUUAACCUUGAGCAAUAAUUUGAAAAGGGCAAUGUUCAGCACUUCCACAGUCACUGCUCAUCUUCAUCCUUGGGUAUCAACUGUUGUGGAGGUUCUUCAUAAUUGUUGAGAGCAAGACGAAGGAGUACACAACGUUGUCGAAGUAUUGUUUGGGUUAUAGAGGUAAGAGUUAAGGUUUUUUUUUAAGGAGCACGGUGGUUAUGGAAAUUUCGGGAUUACCGGAUAUCGGAAUCCAGUAAUAUAUUCCGGAUUCAUGAAUCUGGAAUUAAUUAAAUUAUGUGUUUCAGAUGAGUGGGUGUUCUGGAAGGUAAAAUGUCAUAAUAUGUUGUUCUUUGGAUUUCUGAAUCCAGAAGCUUAAAUUUCAUUACGGAUGGGUUGAUCCGGUAUUGUAUUUUGUGUUAUGGAUUCAUGAAUCCGGAAUGCAUCACUUGCAUUAUGGAUUUAUGAAUCUGGAAUUGUAUUUUGUGUUAUGGAUUCAUGAAUCUGGAAUGCAUCACUUGCAUUAUGGAUUUAUGAAUCCGGAAUUGUUUUUUUGUGUUAUGGAUUCCUAAAUCCAGAAUAGUCUUUUUGAAUUAUGGAUUGUUGGAUCCGGAAUAAUUUUUUUAACUUAUGGAUUCAUGGAUCCGGAAUGCAAUAAUUUUGUUUCAUUUUUUUUAUUUGUAGAAGCAUGGAUAGUAGUGAAGAAUUUGAACAAGAAUUAUAUGAUGGUGUGAAUGUGUGGGAUGAUGAUGAUAUUGAGAAGUCAUUAUCUAAAUCGAAGGGAUAUGAAUGUACAAAUGCGUUUACUACAGAUGAGAUAAAGUUAAGUUUGUAAAGUAUGUUUAAGUUGUUUGUUAAUUAGUAAAUAAUUUGUGUAUGAUAACUUUUGUAAGUAUUUCAUACUCGGGAUGAGCUCCUAAAGUGGGUUAGAAAAGUUGCGUUUGACAUUGGUUUUUGUAUUGUGAUAUUGAGAUCGGAUACUUCAACUGGCCAACGAGGAAGGAAAACAUUUGUAUUAUUAGGUUGUGAGAGAGGAGGUCAAUACAGACGAUAUAAGAAUGAUUUACAGGUUACUGAGAGUGGAACUAGGAAAUGUGGUUGUCUUUUCAGAUUACGAGGGUAUCCAGUAAAGAGUGGUGAAGGGUGGAUAUUGAAAUUAAUUUGUGGGUCUCAUAAUCAUGAGUUGAGAAAUACAUUGGUUGGUCAUCCAUAUGUUGGUAGGUUCACAUGUAGUGAGAAGUCAAUGCUUAUGGACAUGACAAAUUCGGCAGUUUACCGGAUCCAUAAAUUCGGAAGCUUACCAGAUCCCAAAAUCCAGAACAUUCCCGGAAUCAUAAAUUUGGGAUUCUAUCGGAUGCAUCAGUUCGGAAUGUGAAAAAAUGAUUACGGAAACAUAAAUCCAUGGAAAAAACGAAUGUCUAAAUCCGAAAACAGAAAAAUUUACUUACCUUUGCCAAGAGAAUGAAGAAGAAACCUCACAAAAAAGGAUUGUGUGAGAUUCAAAGGAGAAGAGGAAGAGGAAUGUGGAGGUGUCGUCGCUGCUAUGGAAGAGGAAGAAAAUUGCCUGCGUAAAAAUUAGAACAUCAACGCUGCUUUCAUUUUAGGGUUUUUUUAGAUUAGGGAUAUGUUUGAAAUUUUAAAAACUAAUAAGGGUGAUUUCGUCUUUGUAGAAGAGUGUGGGGGUGCAGGAAGAAACAACCGAAAAUAUUCUAGAAUAUAAUGCUAAAAACCAAAACCUAUUCUAAAAGACUGUUUCUUCCUGCACCUCCAUAUCUUCUUGCCACCUCCAUACACAAAAUGAAAAUACAUUUUUAUCCCUCUUAUGUCACCCCCAUAUAGUAGUUUCCAGAUUAUGUAAUUCGAAACUCAUUUGAAAAAAGACUUCUGGAUUAUGUAAUCUGAAAAUUAAUCAUGUAUAUGAAAAAAGACUUCCAGAUUAUGUAAUCCGGAAGCUAAUUACAAAUUUGAAAAAUGAAUUUCAGAUUACGUAAUCCAGAAUAAUAUAGAGGGUCAUUUUUUGAAAUUUGAAAAUAUAUGGAGGUGAGAUAAGAAGGUAUGGAGGUGAAGGAAGAAAUAGUCAUUCCAAAAUAACUAUCUAGAACAUACCAAACAAUUUUUGGAAAGUUGAUUUUGGAAUGCAAUCUUGUCCCAAAAUUACGUUUUGGAAUGCCUAUUCCAAAAUUGUCUUUUUGGACUCCGAUUUCCAAAAUCAUCUUUUUUGCCAUUUCAUCCAAUAUUACUAAAAAAACAAAUCUUCAUACCUAAAAAUCACCUACCAUUGCUUCUAAACAUCACCACCACACCUCGUAAGAGUUAUCCCUUGCCUCCACCACCCAACUUCACCCAACACCUUCAGCAAACACUUCCAUGGAGAUAUCACCUUUCAAAUCAAACUCACAUGAACAAAUUUAAUAUUUCAGAGUUUGUGGGGUUGCAGGUUUAAAUUGAGGGGUUCAAGAAGUAAUUAUGUAAGGUUGAAUGGGAUUGGCCCAGGAUGAUAUUAGCAAGGAUAUGGGAUUUUUAUCCAAAGUGGGCUUUAGGUUCUUGUAAAAUUUCUUACACUUUUUGAAAAUUAUAAUUGAUUUGUACAAAGAAAUUAUUUUGAAUAGUGUAAGAAGUUUUGGUUAUUUAUAAUAUUAUUUACAGAUUUCAGAAUAUGGAAUGUAAAAAUAAAUUGACAGAUGGGCUUAGCAACAGAAUACGGAAAUUUUCUUUUUGCCAUUUCUAUGAUCUCCACCCGCACCUCCAUAAACACCGCAAUAAGCAAUAACGGUAAUCCACAUUGAUAGGGAUGGGCAUGGAUUGGAUUUUCCAAAAUCCAAUCUAGAUCGAUUAAUUAUAUUAAAUUAAAUUCACAUUUGUUAAUUAUAUUAAAUUUACUUUGUCAAUUAUAUUAAAUCUAUUUUGAUAUGGAUAAAGAAAAACUUGGCUCGAACUGGGCCUAAGCCGACUCAACCUGAAUACAGACCAACUCGGCUCAACAUCGGCUCCGACCCAGACGACUCAACAUCGGUCCAGGCCCGGACGACUCAACAUCGACUUGGGCCCAGACAACUCAACAGCAGCCCCGACCCGGACGACUCGACAUCGGCUCGGGCCCGAACAACUAUACAUCGGCUCGGCCCGAACGACUCGACAUCCGCCUAGGCCCGAACAACUCGACAUCAGCCUCGGCCGAACGACUGGACAUCAGCCUGGGCCCUUCGACAUCGGCUCGGGCCCGUUCGGCUCAACAUCAGCUUAAGCCCACUCGCCUCGACAUCGGCCCGGGCCCGCUCACCUCGACAUCGGCCCGAGCCCACUCACCUCGACAUCGGCCCGGGCCCCCUCGACUCGACAUCGGCUCGGGCCCACUCGACUCGACAUUGGCCCGAGUCCGGUCGACUCGACAUCGGCCCGGGCCCGAUCGACUCGACAAAAGCCUGGGCCCGGUCGGCUCGACAUCGACCCGGGCCCGGUUGCCUCGAAAUCGGCCCGGGCCCACUCGACUCGACAUCUGCCCGGACCCAGUUUGAUUGACAUCGGCCCGGGCCCGCUCGACUCGACAUCGGCUCGGGCCCACUCGACUCGACAUUGGCCCGAGUCCGAUCGGCUCGACAACGGCCCGAGCCCGAUCGACUCGACAAAAGCUUGGGCCCGGUCGACUCGACAUCGGCCCGAGCUCGGUCGACUCGACAACGGCCCGGGCUCGGUCGGCUCGACAUCGGCCCGGGCCCGGUCGCCUCGACAUUGGUCCGGUCCGGAUCGUCUCAACAUCGACCAUACCUGCUCACUUCGACAUCGAUUUGGAUUCGCUCGGCUUGACAUCGCCCUGGCCCUGAAUGACUCAAAAUUGGCCCGAGCUCGCACGACUAGACAUCAGCUCGGGCUCGCACGACUCAACAUUGGCCCAAGCUCGAAUGACUAGAUAUCGGCCCUGGCCCCCUCGGCUUGACAUCGGCUUGGACCCGCUUGGCUCGACAUCAGUCCGGGCCCACUCGGCUUGACAUCGGUCCGGGCCCAUUCAGCUUGACAUCGGUCCGGGCCCAUUCAGCUCGACGUGGACUUGGGUCAACUUUGCUCAACCUGCGCCUGAAUUUUCUUGGCUCAACCUGGAUCGGGCCAAGUCAAAAUCCAACCCAAAAUAGAAAGUGAAUAAUCCAAAAAUGUAUCAAAUCCAUAUCUAAUCCAUAUCCAAUUAAAUGAAUUGGAUUUAAAAUCCAAAAAUAUAGAUUUGGAUUUGAAAUAAAACCAUUUAAAUGGAUCAAAACUAAUAUGGAUUUGGAUAAUUAUGGAUUGGAUUUUGUAAUUUGGAUUUUUUGCUCACCCUUACACGUUGAGGGAAAAAGUUACAAAAACUACUUCACCUUUCAUAUUUUCUAAUACAAUGACUUUGGGCUUUGUAGUAAAGGUUGCUUCUUCUUGCAGCCCAUGAGUUCUUUGGCCCCCCUAUAAAUUUCAAAAUUGUCCUUAAGUAAAAAGUUCAAAAUAAAAGGUAUUUAGAGUGCUUUAUGGUUGGUAGGUGAAUGAAGAGACUAUGUGGGUUGAAGUGGUGGUGGUGGCAUUUUCAGGUGAGUUUUCAGCUUUCUUGCCUAGUUAUAGAGGUAUUAUGGAUUUUUUUUAUGUUCCAGAUUGGAUAAUUUGGGGCAUAUACGAAUUAUAAAAUCCAUAAGUUAAAGAUUUUAGAAAUUGCAUUAAUGUUAAUUCAGAUUUUGUAGUGAGUUCUGUGGUACACCAUUUGAAAUAGAAUUACUGAAUUUUGUAACUUAUAAAUUAAGUAAUAAAAACGUAGCUGAUCUCAAAUAGUGUGAAAAUGAAUUGUGUGAAAAUGAUGAUAACUUGUUUUUGAAUUAAGUUAUCUAAAGGGUCUUUUGGAAUUAUCAAAUGAUUUAUUGAUUAAUCAAUCUGAAAGAUAUCUUUAAAAUUACGUAAUUUGUUACAUUUUUUUAUAUAGAUUUUAAUGUUGUGGAUUAUGUAAUCUGGUUUCAAUUCAUUUCCAUUCUAUUUAUGUAAAUUUGGAGUUUUAAUGAAAAAAACUAACAACAAUCCAACAAUCAAAUAGCAUCAAACAUUUCAACAAAACACUCAAAAACGCAAAUAAUCAUCACUACAAAGACAAAAUCGUAAGCGAGAGAUAAAAAACUUUCAAAAACUGCGAAAAAUCACCAAAAAUAACCUCUGAGGCGCACUGAAACGAAGGAGGCCGUGAAGGUGCCCCGAGUAAGAGAAGAGAGCAGAUAGAGCAUAAAGCGUAAAGAUAAAAUUUGUAGGGUUUUGUUUUUUAAAUUAUUUAUUGAAGGGCAUAACAGUAAUGCCCAUUUAAUAUGGAGGUGCCUGAAGAAUAAUUUAAUUUAGAAAUUUAAUUUUUACACCUCUAUGACUUCCGUCCACAGUUCUAUAAGCACUGCGAUAACCAAAAUACUUUUAAUUAUUAAAACGUAUAAAACAGGAGCUUGUUUAUACACUCUGAAAAGUUUUUUCUAAUAAGUUGAGAAUUUUUAAGAUUAAUUUUCAUCAUUACAUUACAUUGGUAAUUUGAAGGUGCACGAAGAAAAUAUAGAAGUUGAGAAUGCAAUUGCACAUUUGAAGAGGCCGAACUCAAUGUUGGAUGAAAAUCUCAUACCUUUGCUAGGCUUUCUCUUCUUCUUUCUUUCAAAAAGUGAAGAUUAAGAAUGAAAGUGUAGUUGGAGGUGAAGCCAGUAAUGAUGGAGGUGCAGGAAGCAAACCCCCUUGCUAAUACCAUCGUGGCUAACCCCACUCAACCUUAUUGGAUAAUCAUUCAUUCGUACUUCAUUUCCAACAUUCAUGGUCGAAAAACCAAAAUUGUCUUGUAACAGCGAGUUGAAGUUUAUGGUUCCCUGAAAUAUGGGUGUUAAAGUUGUUAUAAUUAGCAUAAUUUCCUCGCCAGGGUUGUCUAAGUGAAAGAGAUUAUUGUUGAAAACGAUGGAAAGAAGAAAAUUGGGGAUUUGAGGAAUAAACUAGAAGAUCCAUAUCAUUGUUAAAUGAAUAGUGGUAGAAGGAAUUAGUAAAGUAAGUGAAUAUGGUUUGGUGGAGGAUGAGAGUAAAAGCAUAAUAAGAAUAAUAGAAGAAAAGAGUCACAGGUGAGAGGAACGCAUGAAAAGGUGGUAAUUGUCAACGGAGGAAGAGGGGAGAGCGACCAUGACCUUCACACUCACAGAGUCAUCCCUCACCGGCAAGAACAAACAGUACCUGUCGCAGCACACGGGUCCCACCUCCCAAGCCUUUCCCAAACCCACGUCAAUAUUCUCCAACCCUAGCCUCGACCACUGCGACACUAUCAACACCCCAACCGGGUCGGGGCUCCGUUUCAUCUCCCACACCCACUCCAUCACCUCCCUCACGUGCUCGUUCCCCACCCUCUCCUUCGCUCGCUUCACCAAACCCGACCCGAACCCCACCCCUCUCUCCUCCAGCUCCCUCGCACUCGUCUCCGCACACCCCAAAACAAAUGCGUUCCCAUAAUACCCCUCGGGCAAACCCGGCUUCACACGCUUCCGCACGUUCAUACUGAACACCAGCUUCAAUCUCUGGUUCCCCGGGAACCCUAUGGCUCUCGCCCAGCUUCUCCACACAUGCGCUGCCAGCACCUCGAACGAAGUGUACCGCGCCGACUCGCCGGGUUCGCUCGUGCACUGCGCCACGCGCUUUAACUCGUUCAGCCGCGUCUUAUCGAACGUAAUCGAGGUUGGUUUUAGCCCGGUUGAGACCUUGUUCAUGAAGCCGCAUAGGUCCGGGACUCGGCUAAACUCGGGAUGACUCUCUGAGUCCACCCGCGUCUGCUUCCCAUGCGGUGGGUUCAGAAGGUGACGCUCCCAAACUGGUUUCUGUAUGCGCCUGUAACUCGUCUCGCGUCUGUCGUUGGCUAACUCUGCGAAGUGGUUGAGGAACUCCGCGCUGCCGAUGCCGUCGCAGAGGCAGUGGUUGAUUCCGACGGCAAUUGCGGCGGCGCCGUCGACGAGCCAGGUCAGCUGAACCACCAGCGGCGGGGAGCCCUUCAGCACAUCUGCCACGUGGAGCGACAACAACGGCCUCCAGUGCGUAACUGUUUUAGGCGCCUUUUCAAAGUCGUUGGCGUUGUAACUGGCAGCGAAGGCUUCUAUGAACACCGCUCCUUGGCCCGCACACACCACCUCCAGGCCCUGGCCUUCGGGCCUGGGCCUGACCCGGCCAGCGAAUGGGUAGUAGGGAACCAGGGCCCGGGCUAAUGCCGAUUUGAGACGGGCCGUGGUGUUUGGCUGGUCCAGGCCAGGGCAAGGCUUGUAGACUAACAGAUACUCUAUGGUGAAACGAAGGAAGAGUUGUGAAUCAAGCGCUGAUAGAGCGAGCACGCCCCGUGGAGUGGGUUCAGAAGGUGUAAUCACCGAUGCUUCUUUUACACGCACGGAGCUUCCCAUUUUUGUUCAGUGAUCAAGUUUUUGUAACUUUUGCAACUUGGGCUUUGGGAAGAGAAGCUUAUAAUAGUGGUGUUGGGUGCAUAUACUGAAGAGAUGCCUGGUUUAGAACAAGCAGGUUGCGUGCGUGUGUUAGGGCGAAUACAUAUGAAGCCACAAAUGGAUGAUAUUUAUAAGGAAUAACAACAUGUGAGCUGCUCGUGGGUUCUCAUGCAGUUCUAUUACUGAAGUAAUUGACGUGAUAACAGUAAUUGUAGUACUAAAAAUCAAUCUUAGGUGGUUGAAACAUGUGUAAUAAAAUUUAUAGAAACAAAGUUACUAAAAUUCUUAAAUUCUAUGUGGGGGCCCAAGUGUAGAAUGAGAAAUUUGAGAAGAAGAGGUGUGUUGUGAAGCAUUUCUCUAGGAGCUUUAUUUUGGGGUGCCAAGAUUCUCUGGGCAUCUUUAUGGAAGAAAAAUGAAUAUGAAAACAAAUGCAGUACAGUGUAGAACAGAUGUGCCCGUUUGCUAUUUUUGUCUUUUGGGUUGGACUGAUAGCUAUUACUCCCUCCAUCUCAAUCACCCCAAGCAAGCACAAUUAUUUUUCAAACUUUUGUUUAUCACAUUGCUUACACUUGUAGGGUUUAAGAUUAGAGUAAAAAAUAUUUGCUUUACUGUACAAAAAAGUUGUGUAUUUUUGUGGUGUUUGUGAACUGUGAAAUUGUGUGAUGUUGACGUGAGUCGUUGCUUCACCGGCCUUUCUGUCAUUCUGUCCAGUUUCUGUCCCCAUAAUACUAUGAACCAAUAUUUUAAAAUGCAAUAGGGAAAAACCACUCUCUCAUAAAAGUUAAGUUUAUAUAGAAAAUAAUACAUCAUAUAUUAGGUUUAGUUAGGCAUGCAUACAUGUGGCAUACAUGUUAUUCAUCAUCUCAUAAUCAUAAAUAUCAUUUUGGUACAUUUUUUUAUUGAAAAGGUACAACUUUUAGAGGAUUUUUUUAUUUAUUUACUUCUUUAUAAAAUCUAAGAGAACUUGAGCCCGGUAUAAUAUUUUUACCUACUGUUGCAUAUUUCAAUCGCAAACCCCGAAGUCGGACAAAUUAUGGUUGCAUGGUUCCACAUAAUGGAGAACAACUUAGAGAGUGGGGUCUUGGUUUUUAUUUUUAUCUCUUCUAAGAAUAUGUAUUUUUUAUUACCUUCUUUCGUUUUAGAUAUUCGAAGGAUUCAAAUAUGGUUAGAUAUCACAGAAGCUUGGAGAAGGGAUUCUGUGCAAACAUUGCUGGUGAAGCUUUUUUGCUUCGAGGGGCUCAAAAAUACCAAUAACCAUUUUAUAUACUCGGGCCUAAUCAAGUAUCAUCAUAAAGAGCUUUUUAGCACAAUAAAAUUUAGUAAAAUGACUUCACAAUUACCUAAAUAUAAAAAUAAGUAAGAGUAAUUAUGUUCUAAUACAGUUGUAUCCAUAUAAAAUUUGGAAAUUACUUUAACCACCAUUAUAAAAAAAUAUAAAGAUUGAAUAGUAAUCUAAAAAAGUUAUAGACUGCUUUAAACCCCUGAAAGAAAUAUAAGCAAAGCUGAAACAGGUAAAACUGUAUUGCUUACGUUAAUUUGAAUAAACAUAUUUUCAACAAACAGUUGAAGCAAUAGUAAAAAGAAUUGGUUUUAUUUUCGACAGUUCUCGAACAAUUGUCAGUUGAGGUAUUUUUCUCUUUAUUUAUACUUUUUGCUAUUAGACUGUACAAAAAUUAGCAUAAGACAAAUGAUUUCUUAAUCAUAUUUUAUAAUUCUUAAUUGCAAGAUGUGAUAAGUAGAACUCUCGGGUUUCUGAUAGAACACAAACCAUACCUAAAAUAUAGACAUUAUAAAUAUUAUCUCAACAAAAUAAAUUUGUUAUAAAUUUUUAUGUAGUCUCGUAUUAUUAAAGUCUAAUUCAAUCCCAUAAAAUCAUCUCAUGAAUUGAGGUUUGCACCUAUUUACAUAUUAUAAAAAAUUUUAAUUUUUAGUCGACGUAGGAUCUUCGUGUAACUAAGAUAGUUGAAGGUGUCCGAAAGAAAACAAAUUGAAAGAAGCUUGGUUUUUCCCAUAACCUUGCAUGAGGUUGAGAAGGACAGAAGCAGAGUCUUUACCUUAGUCAAAUCCAGAACGUAGCUAUCACCGGCCAAUAAAUUCUCGUGCAGAUUCUCUAUAACGUGGUCUCCUUCAUCCACACAAGACAAAAUAUGGACAGUGAAGAGAUAGAGAUGCAUAUGGUUCUUAAUCAACGCAAUAGUACACGAUCAUAGCAGAGAUGGUAAAAAAAUAAAGUCUAUAAUGUUCAGGGGUUACAAUCGUACAAUAUUAUUUUUCUUAACAUUAUUUCUUAUUAGUGAAUAAAGCAUAGUUGAGGCCAUAGGACCUACCCUCCCCCCACUUGGAUCCAUUUCAGAUUAAGAUCAUCACCAUAUCUCCCUAAAAGGUUCAAACUAAAGGCUUGUUGUUAUUGAAAAACAAAAUCAUAGGGGUUAUCAAAAAAGUAAUAUUCUAAAUCUUGUUGCCUUUGGUUCAUCAUGGAUUUCCAUGUAAAUUUUGGUAAAUUUCCUGCACUCUUUUUCUGAUUCCUUGUUGCUUUGGCUGCCUCUUUUGUCCUGUUUCUCGCAUGCCCCUCACAUCUUUUCACAAAAGCAUGAUAUAUAUGUUAAUGAAAUAAUUAAUUAAUAAAUAAAGAAACCAUAUUUACAUAUAUCCCUAUGUUCCUAUUUUGAAGGAACCUGGCUAGCUAUAUACCCAUUGGGAGUGUGUAACGCUGAUUUGAAGGUUUUGUUAUGGACAGUGAUAUAUUACUUAAUUAGCCAUGCAGAAGAGGAUAAUAUAAGGAUCAGUCCAAAAAAAAAACAAGAGUCCAAGUGCAUGCCACUAUAAACGACAGAUUAACAAGCCAUGUAUGAGAAUUAGAAUCAAAUACAGAAUAAAUAAUCACAAAAUUAUUUAUAAUCGACGCAAAAUUCGAAUAUUUUUUUAGAAAAAAAAAUACUAAUAUAAGUACAGAGAUAAAUAACAAUUUACCUUGACUGUCUUGACUAUUAUGGCUGCGCUUAUCUACCCUUUUGGUUGGGAGAGGGGUUUGUGUUUUUGCAGUCAAAUAAACGUCUGCAUAAGAGGUUGGACACCAAGCAUAGACAGACAUAUUUUGUUCUAUGAUGAUCAGAAGUUGUUCGGUUUUUUGCUUGUUAGGAAGACUGUUAAUGUUAUUCAUAUAAUAUGCACAUGAUUUUUACAUUCUUGGUUUUUUAAUUUGUGAGGUUUCUUUGUAAUGUGUAAAGGGGUCAUUUCUAACAUUACAUUUUAUCCAUUUUUUUUAUAAGGCACAUUAGGAUGGGUGUUUGGUAACUAUUUUAAGUGCUUGGUAGCCAUUUUUUUUACCUUUUUUAAUCCGACUGGGUUUUUUUUUUUGGAUUGUAGGUUUGGAGAUUAGAUUAUAUUAGAAUUUUUUUUAUAAGGAUCGAAGUAUAUGGUUUUGACAUGAAUAAUAAUAUGAUUGACGAAUUUUGAUAAAUAUUUGAUGAUUUGGGGAAGUUCAGAGUUUAUUGAAGUUGAAAUUAUGAAAGAUACUAAUAAUAAUAAAGUUUAUAUAUAUAUAUAUAUAUAUAUUAAAUACUAUGCAAAACAUUUGUAUAUAUAUAAGUCAUUUAUUUAUUUUUAACUUUGAGAACAUUAGUCACUUAUUAUUUCUUUUAACUCUUAUUUGGUAAUAAAGGUAUGACAACUCAUCAUAACAGUUCGUUAUUAGUGAAUGAAGAAAAAAUGAAACGUUAUAAGAAAAUGCAUGAUAUUUGAGGUAUUUGAAAUUACACGAACAAUAUUAUUUUUAGAGGUAAGGUGGUGGAAGUAGAUGAACUUUUUACAGUGACACAAAUGAAUGUUUGGGUGUGGAUUAAACACAAAUACUUAGUGUCUUCACCCAAUUAAAUAUUUGAAAUCUGUUAAGUAAUUAUUCUUCUUGCAACUUUUAUAUCUUUUACAGGUUAGUUAUUCAUCAUAGUAUGAAUACAAGCUUGUAUGCAUUCAACUUUAGAUGCAUGAGUCUCAAGUUGAACAUUUUAUUUUCCAAUUCUUUAAGAAUAGUUUGAUUUUAGAAUAGAAAGAUUAUGUAAUAUGUUUUGGAUCUUGGAUUAUAUUUGCUUUAUAAGUAAGUGUAUCGCUUUAGCUAUGAUUUGGUUAGGAAUGGAAAUUUUGUAAUGCCAAAGAAAUUUUUAUGUAUAUGGUUAAGUCACCUUAUGAGAGAUCUUGAAGUAUUUGGCACGUAAUGUGACUUUUUUUUAGAAAUAAUUUUAUAUGUAAUAUGUCAUUUUUUAUUACAAAAUAAAAAAACAAAAUCUAAAUUUAAAAAUUUAAAAUACAAAUUUUCAAUUUUAGAUCGUGAAUCCCAAAGUUUAUUAAAUGGAAUAACAAUAUACAUUAAAUGGUCAUCCUACCUCUUAUAUGAGGUCAAAACUUCUCCCUUAGUCAGCAAUACUUUCUCAAACUUAAUUAAAUUAGAUUUAAAAAUAUAAACAAUAAAUUUACAAUUGCACAUCUGCUUCAAUUAAUAUUUGAUUUCUUUUGUUUUACUGCAUUUUCGUAUGUAGAAAAAAUGACGAAAAAAAUGUGCGUUAUUCGUUUUCUAAAAGGUUGGUUUUGGAGUUUUCAAAAAGGUUGGUUUUGGAUGAAUUUGUAAUUAUAUUUUUUUAGUAGGUGUUAUUAAAAUAUAUUUUAUUAAUUUUUAAUUUUAAACUUAAAAAAUAUUAUUUUGAAUUUUAUAGUCUGAAUUUUUAAUAAAGGUCUUUUUUAGAUUUUACAAUCUAAAACUUAACUUUUUCUAAUUAUAAAUUAUACUAUCAAAAAUUAUAUUUAAUUUUCAAAAUAUAAAAUCUGUGACAACAUUGAAAUUAUAACUACUAUUUUAGAAAGGUCAUUAACAACAUUAAAAUUAUAAUUACUAUUUUAGAAGGGUCAAUCUGAAUGGGUUUCGGAUUGUUUCAAUUGAAAAAAAACGGUAGAAGAUUUGUUAGUUAUAAAAUAAAAGAAACAAACUAAUCACUUUUAAAAAAAUGGAAGCAAAAGCGUCUGAGCCCAUAGAAUAACUGAGCUAAGAUUGGACCUUUAUGGGCUUAAGUGUAUAAAGUACGUCACUACGGGAUUUGUUUUUGUACCCUAUAAUUUCCUUCUGCAACCAUGCAAUUUCUUUCUCCAUUCUGACUUUACCUUUAUGAAAGAAUAACUUUUGAACUCUGUAAUCUCUUUCAAAUUAUGUAAUUAAGAUGAAUUUUUGAUAAAUAGAUUUUACAAUAAAUUUUGUUUUAAAUUUUCGAAUUAUACAAUUAGAAACUUAUUUCUUUUAUGAAAAAGAAGGUUUUCGAGUUGCAUAAUUUUAAAAUUAUUUUUUACUUUCAAAUUGUAUAAUUUACAAACUUCUUUUAUUUUUUAGAUUAUACCAUUUAAAAAUUAUUUUUUUUCAUAAAAAAUAAGUUUUCAUAUUACAUAAUUUAAUUUUUUUUUAAAGAAAAUUUUGAAUUGUGUCUUCUACAUAAUUCAAAACAUUUUUUUUUAUCCAUUCACAAAACACAUGAAAAAGAUGACAACGAUAAUAAAAAUGACAUAACAGAUGGUACAAUGAUACAACGUUAAGAAAGAUGACAACGACGAUAACAAAUAUAAUAACAUAACAAAUGUUAGGCAAAAACUAAAGACAAUAAAAGAAUAAUUUGAUUUUUUUAAUCAGAAAGAUUUGCACAUAAAAAUUAUAAAGAAAGCAAUAACCCGUAUCCACCAUAGACAACUUCUAUUAGAAAAAAAAGACACUGUAUGAGAAAAAAUGAGGAGAUAAUCUUAUGAGAUAUAUGCUAUCAAGUUAAAUGGACCAUAGUAAUUUUAAAUAGUCAAAAUUAAAUUUUAAAAUUAACUCAUUUUGAACAAAGAAAUUAUUUAUAUUUAAAAAAUUAAAAAGAGUUCUAGAAUGGGUGGUGCACAGCAUAAAGACAAAAUGAGACAGAAGCAAAAAGUGUUUACUUGUGCAAGAUAGGGAAUUGUCUCAUUCACUCUAUCUUCCUGAGGCAGAAAGUGUCUAACCCUAAACUAUGGUGCUCACAUGUAUCUUUUCUAAUGUUUAAUAUUUUAGUGUUAUUUAAUUUGAGGAUGUUAGGAAUAAGAAGUCAUGGUGGAUACUUCUAAUGGCUAGAAUUGGGUUCAAAAUGAGUCCCAAAGGAGGGUUCAACUACCUGACAUUCUCACAUGCAAACAUAAAUGUUCUUCCAUUUCAUUAUUUUUAAAUUGGAUGAGUUUUUUAGAGUUAUAAUAUAUGUUAGUGUAUAAUAGUCUAUGUUUUAAUUAAUCACAUCAUGUUAAUAAAUGUAUGUGUAUUCUCGAGGAUUGAGUGAGAAAGGGUAAAGAAAUAUUAUUCUUUAUUCAGUGUUUUACAUAGGAUCAAAACAUGUAUUUAUAAAAGAAAAAACUUAUGUGAAGAAACUAUGUGAUUCUACUAUCAAUAGUAUAUCUAACACUCUUCAAUAGAUUUAUGAGGGACUUAUCAACUAUCCGAAGUUUAUCUUUAAAUUUUUAAAACAUUGUCCCAGACAAGGGUUUCAUUAGAACAUCGACGAUUUAAAACUGAGAAGGAAGAUGAACUAACAACAACGGUUUAUUCUGAACAUGAUCACAAACGAAAUGCAAGUCUAGCUCAAAUUGUUUAGAGUGUGAAUGCAGGACAGGAUUGGCAGCAAUAUGAACGACGCCGAGAUUAUCAGAAUGGAUUGUUGGAUUAGAAGAAGUGAUGCGUAGUUCGGUCAUCAGUGAUUGAAUCAAGAUAAUAUCAGCAAGAGCAGCUACAACACUUCUAUACUCAGCCUCACUACUGCUUCUGGAGACAACUUUUUGUUUCUUUAAGGACCAAGACACAAGAUUGUGACCAACAAAGAUGCAAUAUCCCAUGGUAGACUUGCAACAUCCAAGUCAGUGGCCUAGUCGGAAUCACUGAAACCAGUCAUAGAGUAGGUUGGUGAAGGAGUUAAGAGAAGAUCGUGAAUGGAAAUACCAGCCAAGUAUCGCAUAAUACGUUUCAUAGCUUUCCAGUGAUGAAUAUGUGGCUUAUGCAUGUACUGACAAACCCGCUUAAUUGAAAAGGAGAUUUCAGGUCUGGUAAUAGUAGCAUAUUGCAAGGCACCAACAAUGGAUUGAUAUAAAGUUAGAUCAUUGAAGAAGACAGACUCAUUAGCAGUAAGUCGCAGAGAAGAAAGCAUUAGAGAAGGUUGAGACUUAGAGUUAACCAUGUUUGUGCGACGUAGAAGGUCUUUAAUAUAUUUAGCUUGAGAUAGGUGAAUAGAAUUGUCUUUAAGCCAAGAAACUUUGAUUCCUAAGAAGUAAUGUAGCGGUCCAAGAUCCUUUAGUGCAAAAUAUGAGCCUAACUGUUUGAUGAAAUCCUACACUAAGACCCAAGAAGUACCAGUAACUAAGAUAUCGUCAACAUAAAUUAGUAUAAAAAUAGUGUUAUUUUUAGUAAACCUUGUGAAGAGAGAAAUGUCACUCUUGGCAGCAAUUAAGCCCAAAUGAAGAAGAUUUGUAACAACUUUUGAAAACAGGCAUGAGGUGCUUGUUUGAGACCAUAUAUGGCUUUAUUCAAUUGGUAAACAAGAGUAGAGUCAGUAGAGAAUCCUGGUGGUUGUUGCAUGUAGACAAGAGAUGAUAACUCACCAUGGAGGAAAGCAUUCUUGAUAUCAAUUUGAUGAAUUGGCCACCGUGAAGUCAACGCAAUAGUUAGGACUAGGUGGAUAGUGGUAGGCUUGAUGACAGGGCUAAAAGCAUCAGUAAAGUCAUAACCUUCAAAUUGUUGAAAACUUUUGGCGACAAGCCUUGCUUUGUAGCGUUGAAGAGAGCCAUCAGAGUUAUAGUUCAGUUUAAAAACCCAUUUACAACCAACUAAAUUUGCACCAGCAGGCAAUGAAGUAAGAGUCCAUGUGUUGUUUUGAACAAGAGCAUGAUAUUCAGAUUGCAUUGCAUUAAGCCAUUGAGGAUGAGUCAUAGCUUGUUUGUAAAUUGACGGUUCAAAAUAAUCAUUAGUCACAAAAGUAUGGAGAACUUUGGGUUUAGAUAUACCUGCCUUAGCACGAGUUAUCAUGGGAUGAAAAUUGGUAACAUGAAUAGGAGAAGUAAUCUGACAAUGAUUAUCAACAGUAGAUAAAGGUGAUGAUGUAUUAUUUGUAGUUAUAGGAGAAGAACAAUUAGAAAUAGAAACCACAGUUAUAGGUAAAGAAGAAGAGGAAGAAGCAAUAGUAUUACUAUCAUUAUGAAGAAUGAAAGGAUUAUUAUGCAUGGAAAAAGGAAACAAAUAUUCAAUGAAAAUCACAUGUCUUGAGAUAAUAGUCUUUCCCGAAGGAGUUAGGCAAACAUAUCCUUUGUGUGUAUUGUUAUUGUUAUAACCUAGAAAUAAGCACAAAGACAACUUAAAAACAAACUUAUGUUGAUUGUAAGGUCUCAAAAGAGUAUAGCAUGCACACCCAAAUAUACAAAGAAAGUUAUAAUUAGAUUUAUAGGAAAACAACUUAUCAUGAGGACUAACAUUAUCUAAAACAGAAGUAGGUAAAAGAUUAAUAAUAUGAACAACAAAGACAAAUGCCUCAUCCCAAAAUUUAAGAGGAAGAGAUGCAGUAGUAAGAAGGGCCAAACCUGUGUUAUGACCGUGUUUGUAUUUGACAGAUCCAUUUUGUUCAGGAGUGUGUGGACAGGUAAAUCUAUGAGUAAUACCAUGAUCAUGCAAGAUUUUCACUAAAGAAAUAAACUCUUUAUCAUUAUCAGUUUGAAGACAUUUAAUGAGAAAACCAGUUUGUUUUUCAGCAAGUAAUUUAAAAUGCAAAAAAAUAGUAAUGGCUUGAGAUUUAGAAGUUAUGAGAUACAACCAAGUGUACCUAGAAAACGCUUCAAGAAAGGUGAUGUAAUACAUGGAUCCAUCACUAGCAGUUAUGUGUGAGUGACCCCAUAUAUCUACAAAAACUAAUCGAAGAGGAGCAGUAUAGAGAGUGUGUGAAAGUAAAAAAGGCAAUUGAUGAAUUUUAGUAAUAACACACGAAUCACAGAAAGAAGAAUUUGUAUUGCAUAGUAUAUUGUUCAUUUGCAUAACACUUUGCACCGUUCUAAAUGAAGCAUGAACAAGUCUUUUAUGCCACAAUUCAUACGGAGUCAUAAUCGAAUUGUGAGAAGUAUUAUUAAUAGAGGGUGGCAGAGAGUUGUAAUGAGGGAAAAACAUAUAAGUCAUCACGUAUGUUUCCUUGGAGAAGAAUCUCCUUUGUAGCCUGAUUUUUAACAAAACACUUAUUAGGAUAAAAUUUAAAGUGUGGUAAAGAUGAAAUGUAAUUACAUGUAGUUUUUUUUUAUCUUGACGAUAAGUUCUUUAAUUAUUUGAUCUUUAAUUUGAAAAAAAAAAAAAUUAAUAAUUCUUGUAUUUUACCAUUUAAUUUUUUUAUUAGGAAAUAAUAAAGAAAUAUUUUAAGAAUACUACAAUUUUUAUAAAAGAGAAGUUAUUAAGUCACCAUUCAUGAAGAAUACUGACUUUCCUCUAUACAUUUAACAAAAUGUGCUUACACUACACACUCCUGUAAUGGCAAAGAGAGGGGACAAACCUCAAUAAAAAAAGUUGUCUUAAAGAAGCUUAAAAACACAACUGAAAAGAAGAAUGAGAAUCAUAACCUAUACACAGAUAUACACAAAUAAUAUUGCACCCUCUUUUAUCCAUAAUGUCAAAAAACUUACAAGACGCAUACACGUUUAUGACAUGGAGAAGCAAAAUAUCAAAAAAAUCUUCUCAAAUAUGAUAAAUUUGAUCCUCAUUUAUCCUCUUUUAAUUUUCUUUGUUGGUUUAUACAUCUAGUUCCAUUGGACUACUUUAUAAAUCAAAGUCUAGAAUUUUGUUGCUCAUCUGCAAAAACAUACAACAACAGAAUACCUUCCCCAACAGAUAAACUAACACAUAAACGAUUAUAUAAGUAAAGAAAAAUCAAAAAUUCUAAACCGCAAUUCACUCUAACAAAAAUAUUUGAGACAUAUGAUUGUGUUAAGUGACCAAUCCGAGAAGGAGAAAGUGAAAGUUGUAUAUUUACUCUUCAUUCAUAACCAAGUCUUUAGUUAAGCCAUUUACAGAAUUUUAUCGUCAUCAACUAUCCUUUGUCUAAAGACUACCUCAUUCCUAAGAACCCAUAUAUGUAUUUUUGUUUUAACCAUUAUAAUUAGUUUGUAAUUUAUUACGAAAAUACUAGACUACUUAUUAUGAAAAAUAAUUAUAAUAAUCAUAAUAAAUUGUGAUAAAAUGAUGUUUUUCCAUUAAUGAUAGUGACAUGAUUGAUGAUUUUCAUAUUUUUUAUAUUUGAAUGAUAAUUUCACCCUUUUCCAAAUUUUCACAACUCCCACUUUAACAUAUAUACAUUAAGUAGUGUUCCAUUUAAUAAAGUUAAAACAUUCUUAAAAUUGUCCAUUUAAUUUUAUUUAAUUUAUUUUUUACUGAUAAAAAAAAUAAUGUUAGUAUCAUCUAUCAUCUUUUUGAAAAUAUUGGAUAUUCUAGUUUUUUUGAAAAUAUUAGUUAUCCUCCCUCGACCAUGCUACAAUCGAUUGAAACAUUUUGACUAUUCACUUAUUAUAUCUUUAAUUACUCGUUCAACUUUUGUUUCGUUUGUUCUAGCUAACAACACUAUAUCAUUCCCCUACACACCUUGUUCGACUUCUCCUUCAUUCUUGAGUAAAAAAAAUCAAACAAACCUAAAUCUAGAUCACUUUCUAUCCACUUUUCUUGAUAUGAACAUUUCGUUAACCCUUCUCCACUUACUAAAAGAAUUUCACAUGUCAUAGUCUCAUAAGUUAAUCGAAAAGUUUAAGAAAUAAUAUGUAUAUAGGAAUUUUCAUACAAUUCCUUCCUCCACGGUGAUAUUCCCUUCUUUGAAGUAGCUAUCUCCCAUUUUUCUUUCUACCAGUGUCUACAAUGAUUUCUUUUCAGAUUACAUCAUUUACUUGUUAUUGCCAAAAAUAGAAAAAAUCCAGUCAUUCCCAAAUAUGAAAAGCUCUAGUGCAAAGUACACAAAAAAAUAGAACGGAAAUCGUGAAUGGUCUGUGCAUACAAGUUGGAAGAGAAACUAUAGGUAUAGGAUAAAUGUCUUUUGUGGCGUUCAGUAUUAGUUGGAAGUUCACCAUGGUAAAUGAGCCAAAAAAGAACAGUUAUUUUUGUAGGACAAAAACCUUCGAAACAUAUAUAGUCAUGCCAGUUCAAUGAAGGAACUGUACUUAUAUAUGUGUCUACUUAGCAGACACUUAACCAUCUUUCUAGUUUUCAAGAAUAAUUACUUCCGACAUUAGUAACAUUUACCACAACUUCCAUGCAAGUUAUUGUGUGGCCAAAAUAAGGGUGGUAGGAAUGCAAGUGCCAAGUGUUACCAUAAAAAUACUUCAGAUGAAUAUCUACCCAUUAAUUAAUUUAUUACCACUCUGCUACGUUUAUUAAUCUGCUUGCCCUUGUUUUAACUAACAGUACCCUAAUCCUUUAUAUUAUAUAUAGAUAAUAGAUAAUUAGCAAGAUGGCCCUUAAUUUGAACUGUGAUUAAAGUUGUGCAACGUUAGUAGUAGUCAAAAUUUGGCACAAGAGGUGGCAGUGGAGUAAUGAGUUUAAGUGCCUGGGAAAGUAGCGGUAAUAAUUUUUUUGGUAAACAGUAAACAGCAUGAGAGUGGUGAAGUUGCAGAAGUGUGAAAAGAGAACUUGACUAAAAGGGAAAAAACGAAGAAAAGAAAGAAGCGAUUCCGAGGCAGUGUGUCUUUAUUCGAUGCAGAGCGAUGAAUGGGUUACUUUUUCUCUCUCCCUAUAUAAAUUGCAUGUUACACCGCCCUAUUCCACCAUUGACAGGGAUGACAUCCAACCCUUUCAGCAGAGCCUCCUCUUUGGACUAAUCAACAUCAAACGCUGAACGAGGUACCCAAGGGUCUCCAUCUUUCCCCUCAGAUUAAAAACUGGGCCCAACCAAUGGCCUCUCUCCAACCUCAACCCCAAGAAACCAAACCCACCGCCACCACCGCCACGCCCUCCACUCCCAGCCAAACAUCUAACACUUCCAACAGCACCAAUGACACCACCAACAACAAAAGUACUCGUAAAUGCAAAGGCAAAGGUGGCCCUGACAACAACAAAUUUAGGUACCGCGGCGUUAGACAACGAAGCUGGGGCAAAUGGGUCGCCGAGAUCCGCGAGCCACGUAAGCGCACGCGCAAGUGGCUAGGCACCUUCGCCACCGCUGAAGACGCCGCCAGAGCCUACGACCGCGCCGCCCUCAUCCUCUAUGGUUCCCGGGCCCAGCUCAAUCUCGAACCCUCCGGUUCCUCUCCUCACUCUUCCUCAUCCCGUACCACCUCUUCCACUCAAACCCUAAGACCCUUGCUUCCCCGCCCCACAGGCUUCGCUUUCAAUUUUCCCUUCCACGCCGCCGCCCUGCCCUACCCUUGCGCCGGCGUGUAUGCCACCACUUUCAAUUACACCCAUCAGGUGAUGUGCCCUAACGAGAAUAGUAAUAAUACAGUGCAUGUUCAUCAUCAUCAUCAUCGUCGUCCUGAGGAAGUGGUGCAAGUGUCGCAUGCUCUAUCAACAUCAUAUCAAAAUUCGGAAUCUGAUGUGAGUUUAGGUGGGAAUAAUACUACUGCUGAUAGUUCCAGUAGAUCAACCUCGUACCAAAGGCAUGGUCAUCAGGAUAAUAACCGUGUGCAUGCUCAACAUAGCGAUUCAUCGAAGCAUCAGCAACAUCAGAACAGCGUUGUCGAUGGAGUGGAUUCCGCUGUGGGUUCGGGUGAAUCUUCUCAGGUAAAUAUGGAGGCUUCGGUGGAUCCGGAUCUGUCGUUGGUGGGGACAGUGGGGCUUGGAUCUUCUUCUUCUGUGUGGCCGUUGGCGAGUGAGGCUGAUUACAGUGGCAGUUUGUGGGAUUAUAAUGAUCCUUUCUUCUUUGAUCCUUCGGAGAAAUUUUAGUUGCAAUUUCUUGAUUAGAUGUGUUUGUCGGAAUCGUUAAUCGAUUGAUUAGAUGGUUUGGACUUGGUAACAUAUAGUACAUGGUGAAGGAGGAUCACAUAUAGAUUGAAACUUGGUGAAUAAAGUGUUGGGUACACAACGCUGAAGCAGACGCUGAAAGUUUAUUGCUUGUUAGUAUUAGUAUUAAUAAUUAAUUAAUUGUGGAUAAUGAGGAUGGUAGAAAUAUAUUAGUUUUCCUAGUUUAGAUUUAGUGCAGAUGGAAAAUAAUUGCAGACAACCCAAAUGCAUUCUGUUGCUGCUGCUUGGGAACGAAUCCAGGGUUAUCUUAUCAUUUCUCUCAUCCCAUGUUGAGGUAAGCCUUUUCGAUUAUUUGGAUUUCAAAUGUAUGAUAUCAUAAUACAUCUACUCAUUGUUGCCUUGGAUCAUAUCUUUCUUACUUUUUCAUUCAAUUUUAACUGUGGCAACCAGUACUUGAGAAAUUUAAUGGAUGAAAAAAAAAGUUCUUCUUCUUUUUUUGGUAAAUGCAUGUUCUUCUUAGUUUGUCUUUUUACACCUUUUCUAUUUAAUCUACUCCAAAUUGAAUCUACACAAUUGUGUUCUUCUCGCAUGAACAAAUAUUGAUUUGGGGAAUGUUUUGCAAGAGAUUUGAAACUAGUUUAGUGAUUACAAGCUCUUUAGGGACUACAAACUCUUUAGUUUAUUGUUGUAUGUCUAAUUUACUUUCUUAAAAUUUAAGUAGUAUAAGUUAUUUUUUGUCCUUUUAGGAAGUUUUAUAAUUAAUUUUUUAGCAAGUUUGAUGUAAUCAAAAUUUAAUAAAUAGAUGCUGAUCUAGGGGCUAUUUUCUUAAAUACGUUUUUAAUAAAUUAUUUUGAGUCUCUUUUUCAUAAUUUCGUUUGAAUAGGAAGGAUAACUUAUACACACUUGUAAUAAAAAAAAAAUGAAGGAUAAAUAGUAAAUGUGAAGUUGAUUUGAAAUUGGUUUCAUACUUAGUUGGUGAGAUUUUUUGUGUAUUAUUAAAACAUGAUUCUAAUGUACUUUAUAAUCUCAAUCUUGAGGAAAAAUACUUGAAAAUUUUGGAGACAAGAUAUGAGUGUUGCCUCUACAAUUGUGAUAUUAUAUUAUUGUAUAGGUUAUAGAUCUUAAAUUCAAUUUAAGAAGUUGGUUUAAAAGCAAACUAGUUUUUAAAAAAUGUGGAAUCAUAGGUGGCAUAUUGUUUUCAUAGUUAUGAAGUUUUUUUUAGCCUGUCCUCCAAACUUAAGUUUGUAUUUAUUUAUUUAUAUUAAUUUAUCAUCUUAUUUCUUUAUCAUUCUAUAUGAUAAAUUUAAUAUACAUUUCUUUAACAUUCUAUAUGAUAAAUUUAAUAUACGAAAACAGGUGAGUUAUGAAAUAAUAUAACCUCCAUUUUUCAUGAAGUUAGUGGUAACAUUCUAGAUUAAUGUCUGUAUAAAGGUAUGAUGAUAUCUUUUUGUAGUCUGUCCACUGAAUGUCUUUUAAAAUGUUUAUUUCUUUAACAUUUUGGAUGAUAAAUUUAAUAUUCCAAAACAUGUAAAUUUUUAAAUGUUUUAACCUCCACUUUUCAAUAAGUCAGUGGUAACAUUCUAGAUUAUUUUUAUAGGAAUGAAGUAUUUUUAGAGUCUGUCUACCAAACAUUACUCUGUAUUCAGUUUUUUAUUUCUUUAUCAUUUGGAUGAUAGAUUUAAUAUUGGGAAACAUGUGACUAAUGAUAUAGCAUCCAUUUUUCAUUAUGUGUCAGUUGCUUACCUUCGUUUUAAAAACUUGUAUAUCCUUUAUUUUACUUUUGCCCAUCUUCAUUUUUUUUAUAUAUUUCAUCUGUCUUCUUUACUUUCAACUAAAGCUAGGUUUGGCUUAUUUUAUUAAAUUAUGUCAUUUAUGAUGAAAGGUCUAAUAAGAAUGAAGAAAAUUUAAUAUUUAUAUUAUACUCUUUUCUCUAUUUGAAAAAUGUAUUGAACAAAAAAUAGGAUUAAGCAUAUAAUAUUUAUAAACAAAUUAGUUGAUUGAAAUGUAUUUGACCUAUGAUAUUUUCAUUAAAUGUUAUUUUCCAAUAAAAACUAAUAAAUUUCAUUGCAACAUUCUACGUAUUGAGUUUAUGAGUGGUUUUAGUUGUAUGAACACUCUUUUGACAAUUUAUUAUACCUGAAUGCCUCACCCUUUUUUAAAUUAAUUUCUGAGACUGUUAUGCUUUUUACAUUGAAGAUGUUUAAAGUACAUCAAGAUAUGAAAUAUAAGUACACUAUUCCAUCAAAUCUUUUGAAAUAGUCUAGUAAAACACUAAUGUUUGAAAUUGUGAUAACUUAAUAAAUUGAUUUAUAUAAAAUUAAUGUAAUAUAUAGUCUUUGAAAUUAGAUACGAUUGAUUAUAAGUAAAAUAAUAAUGUAAUCCUUGAUUAUAAGUUAUUAAUCAAAUCAAUUUUUUAGAUCGUAUUAGUAAAACGGAUUGGUCAUUUAUUGGAAAUGCUUAAUCGUCCUUGAUUUAAACAAUACAAAUAUCUUCUUUAAUACUUUACCUUUUUUUUAAUAAAUUUAAUUUAUUUUUGAGAAAUUUUAAUACUUCUUAUUUAUUGUUAUUUUUUAUCGUCAAUAAAACAUAAUAAAUAAAAUAGAUAUUUCAACUCAUAAAAAAGAGUAAAAAAGGUAGAGCAAAUUUAGACCCUAAACCCUAAACUUAUUAUAACUUUGAAGACUAAAUUCAAUGAUAAUUUAUGAUUUUAAAUAUAAUUUUAUCAUUUAUUUUAAGUAUUUAAGUGUUAUAUAGUUUAUAAGGUAGAGCGAGUUUAGUAACUAGUUAUUAUAAAUUUGAAGACUAAAUUGAUUGAUAAUUUAUGAUUUUAAAUAUAAUUUUAUCAUUUAUUUUAAGUAUUUAAGUGUUAUAUAUAUAGUUUAUUUUUUGGAGUUAACUUUUAUUUUCAAAAUGUGGUAUUUAAAGGUUUAAAUUUAUUUAUAACUUAAGGACAUUUUUUAAAGGUUAUUUUUUAUUUUAUUAAUUUUAAAAGCUUAAUGUAAUCUUAAAGAAUAAAUUUAUAAUUCAAUUUAUUAAUAAUUUUGAAAAAAUAUAACUCUUAUCAAAUUGUCUAUUCUUCUUUUCUAUUAUUUUAGUUUAUUUUAAAUCUUCCAAAACACGGGACACUGUGUCUGGUGAUUAUGGAAAACAAGAUGUUUUGAAAAUAUUUUGAUAUCUUAAACAGGUUAAUAACUUAGAAAAACUAUCUCAAAGCAUAUUAAGUAUUUUAGGAAGUUAUAAAUUGAAAUUUUUAACUACAUAGUUCUUUAUAAUAUGCCUUUAAAAAAUGAAUUUGUGAAUAAAAAAAUUUAUAGGAAUAAUUUUUUUAAAAAUAUCUUUAAAGUGUAUUUUUUUUUACACAAUCUUUUAAAAAAACUAAAUAUACGUAAUUUAAUUAGUUUAGCAUAUCUAAGUUUUUUAUUUUUUAGAAAGUAAAAUUUUAAAAUGAAACAUGUAGAUAUUAACCCAUAUUAGAAUUUUCUUUUCAUUCACUUUUAUUUUUAUUAAGAAUUGAAAAAUAUGCAAUUUGUUAUAAGUUCGGCCCAAGUUACUAAAUCAGAUCAUUGCUCGGGCCAUAUAUUAAUUCCGUGUGUUUCAGUUUGUUUUGUGACUUUUCACGGGCAUGGGCUUAUUAAAAGGAUAAACUAAUUUAGGUUAAGAAAAAACCGUUUUUUAUUAGCCUUAAAACCUCAACUAAAUGGAGAGAAAUUAAAAAAAGUAAGACUAAAUUUAAAUAAAUAACAAUAAUUACAAGUAGCUAUAAAUAAUUUUUUUAAUAUAUGUUUCACUGUUAUUUAACAUUUACAUCAGGAAAUUUGAAGAUAUUUUUUUCUUACAAUAAAUUAGAAGAUAAACAUGUUAAAAUAAAUGCAACUUGUAAAAGAAAUUUAUGUGCAAUAAUUUUUACUCAAAUAUAUAUUGAUAGUAGAUAGGGGUAGAUACGGUCUUGAUAGAACUUUGUGUUGUGUGUUGAAAGUGAAGCACCAACAUAGUUUUAUUCUCAAGGAACCUUUUAAUCAAAAUAUUAGCGAGACCAUUUUCAAUGUCUCUCCAAAAAUGUGCAAAGUAGAUAGUAAAAGUGAAAUGAAAUUUUCUACAAAAGUCCAUACCUUCAUUUUUCUUUUUGUUAACUUUAAGUUGNNNNNNNNNNNNNNNNNNNNNNNNNNNNNNNNNNNNNNNNNNNNNNNNNNNNNNNNNNNNNNNNNNNNNNNNNNNNNNNNNNNNNNNNNNNNNNNNNNNNNNNNNNNNNNNNNNNNNNNNNNNNNNNNNNNNNNNNNNNNNNNCACUUAAUUAAAACAGAAUCAUGACUAAAGGUGAAGAUGUUACAAUUCAGUUUAUAUAUACUAGAUUAUGCUCUGUAAAAAGGAGGAUAUAAUAAACAACACAGGAAACUCUUAACUCAUAUUAUAUUUUAUACUAUAUUAUAUUUUAUGUUCUUAUUGACUUGAGCAACGGAUUGUCAUCUCAAAAGGAGUCCCUCCCCUCUCAUUCCCAAAAGGUUGAGUCACUAGAGCUUGAAGGGAGAUCACUAGGAGUUCAUCCAUAUUCCGAUCAACCUCAAGUUGGCUAAACAGUUAGUGAGAUAAUUACUAUGGUGAAAAUUAUAGGCUACAUCAAAUAUUUCAUGGUAAAACUAAAAUAGUCAAGUCAUUAUCAAAAUCUACUAUGUGCGGUUGUCGUCUGUAUUGAAGUUGAUUUUUGAUCGGAAAUGUCAGACAGGUACAUGUAGAAGGCUCUCCGACGAUCAAGUGAAUAUUUGGUCUUGGGUAGUUCAAUGUAAUUAAUGUUCAAUAAAUGUGUACUUUAAUAUAGCGUUGGUCAACCUAUUUAUUAGGAUGAGUUGGGUAUGCAUUAACACCAUUUUCAUAAAUUGAAACUUUUAUACAUCAAAAUGUAUAAUUUUCAGUCAAUUUUAGUUAAUAAAAUUAUAUUCAAAAUAAAGCACCAAUCACAUUUUUUUUUAAAAAUUGCAUGUAUUUUUAUCAGAAAAAAAAAAUUGCAUGUAAUUUCAAUUAAUUUUGUUAUUGGAAGUUUAUAUAAUUAUUUCUUUAAAAUAAUUAAACUUAAUACUGUGAUUAUUUUAUAAUAAUGUCAAAAUCGUAUAGGAGUAUUUCUUGAGAAGAAAGUAAUCAAAUAUUACCUAGUAGUCAUAUAACAACUAUGACUUUUUUAACCGUGUGCCGUUGAUUCAACACCGUGUAAAAUAUAUGUUAUUCAGUCAAAUAUAUCUUAAUUAAUUAUGCAAAUUCAACAUUUUUCUUGCAUUAACACAGAUCUGAGAUCUAUUGAGUGUGAAGUUAAUUAUUCAACAUUUAACCUUUGAAUGAGUUCUUGGGUCAGUCAUUCCCAUUAAAUCUUAAUUUAUGCUGUCAGUGGAAUAUCACAUCUCACUUAUUUGCUAAAUUCCCCCAUUUCAUGGAGUUCCUAAUAAAAGAAUAUAUUAAUUUUUGUUUUCUUAAUAUACCUUAAAUAACUGAGAAAACUUUAGAAAGCAACACUAUCAUAUAGAAGAUUUACUACAUAAAAAAUUAUAUUAAUUAAAAUUUAAAUUAUUUAAUGAAUAUUUUAAUUAUUUAAGCAUAUUUCAAAUAAUUAUAUUUUUAAAUAAAAACAAAUGUGGUUAUGUAUUCGUAAAGGGCAGAAGGAAAGGCAAUCUGGAGGAGCCAUGGUCUCCCUCUCCGAUUUUAUUUUUUUUUAAGUAUGUAUAAGUUAUUAUAAAAUAUUUGUUUGGCCCUACUAAAAAAUUUCAAAUAAUUAUUGAAAAAUGGUAUAUGAAAAAAUGAAAUAGAAAAAAAAUCACAAAUAUUUAAAAAUGACUGUGAUGUUAAAAUAUUUACAUAUGAUUUUCAAAAAUAUUUAAUCCAUUCAUGAUUUUCACAUAUCAAAUACAUUAUGUAUAUACAUUAUCAAAUACAUAUAAAAAACAUAUUUUUCAAAAAAAAUCUAUAACAAUAUAUUGAAAUUUUGUAUUUUCUCUCUUAUCUAUUUAUCCUUUUUUUUCUUGUAUAAAAACUGUGCAAACUAGUUCUUUAAGUCAUUAAUUUUGCUUGAACAUUUUUUGUAAUGAGAAAAAAAAAACACUGAAUCUUCACCUUAUCUUUCCAUAAUAUAUAAUUUUAGGUUAGAAAUGAAAAAUUAUAAAAGAAUGUCUCUGUGAUUACCAGUUAAGACAUUCUAUAAAUAAAAUAUAGUAUAAACAUAACUAAUAUAAAUGUAGUGUAUAUUUUUUGAAGAGAUGCACAUCUAGUAUCAUAUCUAAUAUUAUAUUCAUGAAGGUAAGAUUAAACUAUUGGUGUGUACUUAUAAAAUGGUUUCAUCUUGGACACUGUUACGGAUAAGCUACCACGGUGUUAUUGACCAAGUUCCUAAUGGACCAAAAUCAUGUACGGUACCUUCGUACAUGCAUAAUAUUCAACUUUUGAUCACAAUAAUUUAUUAUAUUAAAUUUUCCUUCCAAUUUUUUUUUUUAAUAAAUUGUUAACCACAAUACUUUUGAAAUGGCCGUCAAAAAUUGAACUACUGAAUAUUUUCUAUAGACGUGAGUUGAGACACCAUUUUUCUAUAUGGAUUCAGAUAAAGACGAAUCUUUUCUUUUGAGUACAUGUAACUGGUUAUUAACACUUAAAGUCAUAAACUAAGAUAACUAUUAAUUGGUUGUGAUUCAUUACUACAGUUUUACGGAACGGAAAUUUGAAGACAGGGCCGGCUCUAAAUUGAACAGCAAAAUAAAAUAAUAAUGGUUUAUUAUUUUAUUGAAGAAAAAAAAAGAAAAAAAUUAAGAGAAAAAUCUAACUCAUUUUUAUAAAAGACUUCUAAAAUAAAAUUUGUACAUGAAAUUAUUUUUAGUUAAUGUGUUUAACAUUUUCAUCUUGAGACGAAUCAAUUCGGAUAGAACUAUAUAUUUAUUUGUUACCUGAUAGCAUAACAGUUCAAUAGCGUGUGAUGCAAUAAAUUUUUGUUAAGAUAAUUUUUAAAAUGACUUUUGAUAUCAUUAUAAAAAAAAUAUUUUCAAGUAAUGAGCUGAAUUUAUCUAGUGGAUAUUCAAGAGAACAAAAUUCUCUUUUAAUUUUUUUCUUUGUUAUUUUUUUAAUAUGACGAACAAAUGUGAAAUGAUGAAGUAAUUAAUAAUCUAACAGCGAUGUGUUUGGCAUUACGUAGUUUAUGAAUGCUAAGUUUGUUCUUAAAUUUUCAAGGAAGAAACCUCAUCCUAUUUGUUUUUUAUAGAUAAUGCAUUUGUUUUAUGUAUUAUCAGUGCAUGAUUUAACAAACGCUCCUCGUAUUUCGGUUCUCUCUUACACGCAUGCCAAGUGUAAUGGCUUUGAUCGCGUUUACUUUAACUUAACCGCAAAGUUUGUCAAAGACUAGAGAAUAAAUUAAGAGUAACACCUAUUAAAUAAAAGUUAACCAUAAAAAUUAUAUUUAAACUUACUAUGCUCCUUCAUGCAAAAUGUUUACAAUAUUAUUUUAUAAUAACAGCCAAAUCAUAUAGGAGUAUUUCUGGAGAAGAAAGUAAUAAAAGUUUAACAAAAAUAGUAUUAGGAGAUAUCGACUAGAAAUAAAACAUUUUCAUAACAUAUAAGUAGAUUUUAUAAACCAAAUUUUAUAAGAUUGAGUUAGACUUAAAGUCUACUUUUGAAUAUAGUAUUAAAGUAUUUUAAAACCUAUUAUAGCGAGAUUUUGUUAAAAUUAUCAAGUCAUCUACUAUUGGACUAUAUCGAACCACCCAUAAAUAUAUAAUCUCACAUAAGAACUCGACACGAAAAAGGUGUGUUAGAGAUUUUAUUGACAAAAAUAAAAAUAUAAUUUUUAUAAUAUAUAAAUAAAUACAACUCUAACCUUAUAAAUUUACUUUAUAAAAUUUGAGAUAAACUUAAAAGUUUAAUUUUUAAAUUUGAGAUAAACUUAAAAGUCUAAUUUUUGUCUAAAAACAUUCACAUUUAUACCUGUCAUAAUAUCAAAGGUGACUUUUUAAAAACUAAACUACGUGCCCUUUAUUCCACUCAAUGCAAAAUCUAUGUUAUCCAGUCAAAUAUAUACUCUCAAUUAAUUAUGCACAUUUUCCUUGUAUUAACAGAGAUCUGAUAUCUAUUGAGUGAGAAGUUAAUGAACCCUUUUAAUGAGUCUUUGGGUCAUUCAUUCCCAUUAAAUGUAAUUUAUGUUAUUCAGUCAAAUAUCACACCUCAUUUAUUUGCUAAAAUCCCCCAUCUCAUGGAGUUUCUUUUAAUAUAUAUAUAUAUAUAGUUUUUUUCUAUAUCUUCAAUAACUUAUAUAUAAUUUACACAAUAGUAUAAAAGAUAUAAUACAUACACAUUUACUUAAAACUAAAAGUAUUUAAUGAAUCUUUUAAAUAUUUAAUAAUAUUUUAAAUAAUUAAUAUUUUUAAAUAAGUAUUACCUUUUCACAAUAACACUUUUUAUAAUCAAAUAUAUAAAUCAAUUAAAGUGAACUUAUUUAAUUUUAAUCAUUAAUUUGAGGUUAUAAACAUGAGCAUAUAAAGUUGAGUUAAAUUCAUGGAACAUAAAUAAUCUUAUGCAUAAUUGUUUUACUUUAUUAUGACAACAUUGAUUUUUUUUAAAGGAUGUUUGUAGUUUGUGUGGUUGUUGCAACAAAAUAUAUUCCUUCUUAUUUUUUUUAAGUAUUGUAUUUUUAAAACGAUUUUUAUUCCUAGAUCUAGAUAGAUUAAGUAUACUAAUCUCAAUUGUUUACAUUAAAAAAAUUAUUAGAUAUGAAUUAAUUUUAGAAACCAAAAUAAUUAAUUACUUUAUUAAUUAAUUCAGAUAUUAUUUUAUAAACUAAAAAAAUAUUGGUAUCUAAAGUAAUUUUGAUAUUAAUAAAAAUUUAUAAACUAGCUUAUAAAUUAAUAUAUCUAAUAUUAAUUACCAACUACUUUAAGUUCUAACUUGGUAUCUAGCAUUAUCUACCAACUACUUUAGAUUCUAAAUUAAUAUAGGAAGUAGUUAGUAGCUAAUGCACUACAAGAAAAUCAUUAAAUAGAAACCAAUUUUUAGAAACCAAAAUAAUUAGUUGCAAUAGUAACUAAAUUAGAGACCAUUUUAGAAACUAAAAAAAAUUGGUUUCUAAAUUAGUUUAUAUUAUUUUCUAUUAUUGUUAAAUAGUUUCUAAAUUAGUAUCUAAUUAGCAACCAAUGUUUUAUCUACCAAUUAUUUAGUUUCUAAAUUUAGUCUCUAAAACCUUGGUUGCUAAUUAGAGACCAAUUUAGAAACUAUUUAACAAUAAUAGAAAAUANNNNNNNNNNNNNNNNNNNNNNNNNNNNNNNNNNNNNNNNNNNNNNNNNNNNNNNNNNNNNNNNNNNNNNNNNNNNNNNNNNNNNNNNNNNNNNNNNNNNCUUAAUUUAAACUAAAUAAAUAAGUAAAAAUAAAUAAGUAAACUUAAAUUUAAGUAAACCUUAAUUUUUUGUUUUUAGUUUUACAAAUGGUCUCUAAUUUAGUUAUUAUUGCAACUAAUUAUUUUGGUCACUAAAAAUUGGUUUCUAUUUCAUCAUUUUCUUGUAGUGAUGUUAGAUAUCAAUUUAUAAAUUAGCUUAUAAAUUUUUAUUAGUAAUAUAAAACUACUUUAAAUACCAAUAAUUUUUAGUUUAUAAGAUAGUAUUUAAUUUAGUCACUAUAAUAACUAAUUAUUUUUACUUUUAAAAUAAAUUUAUAUUUAAUGAUUCUUUUAUAGUAUUAAUAAUGACAAUAUAAUAUUUAUAGUGUAGUAUUACACACUUAAACUACAUAAAUAUAAUUAAUUUAAUCGAUAUACUAACUAAUUAUUUUCCUAACAUAAUUAUUACAUUUUAAUAUUAAACGCUUAGACUACUACUUCCCUAACUUAGUUAUUACACGCUUAAUGUCUCGUGUCCUUCUACAACUUAGCUAUAACAUAUUUUUUUCAUAUGUCUUGAACUUAUUCAACUUUUUUUUUGUGAUAUCAUAUUUUUUUACUAAUUUUUUUUAUUAAAGAUCAAUCAAAUUUAGAGACAAAAAAUAAUUAAGACUAAAUUUGAUAUUAUUUCAGAUAUUAAAAAAUUAUUCGUAUUUGAAGUAGUUUCUAAUUAAUAAAAAAUUAUAAAUUAGUUUAUAAAUUGACAUCUAUCAAUUAUCAAUGUUUUAACUACUAGUAUCUUAUAUUCUAAAUUAGUAUCUAAAAUACUAAUAGAGAUUAAUUUAAAAUAUAGAGUGGUGAUUUAAGGUUUGAAUUUUUUUAGGUGAAUGAUAUCUAUCUCGUAUAUGUAAGGUAUCAGAUAAUAUUAAUCAUUAUUUUAGCUCUAAAUAAUUUGUACACUAUUAUUAUGAUUACAAAAUUUAAUUUUUUCUUCUUCUUAAAUUAACUAUAACAUUUUCAAAUAUAAGAUUUUGUUGUACUUAUUAUAUUUUCUAUUAAUUAAUUAUUUUAAUCAACCUUAAUGAAUUUAAAAAUUAACCCUAAUAUAAUCCUAAAACUUAAUUUUGUGUUUAAUUUCAAAAAUUAACUGUAAAUUAAAAAUGUAAGAAAAUACUAAAUAUUCAUUGCAAUCAUCUAAAACACUAAAUAAAGAAAAGUUAUACAUAGUAAAAAUGUUUCUGAUAACUUAAAGAAAGUAUUAAACCGGGUUGCUUUUAUUUCAUGAAUUUGCACCUUGAAAUCCCUUUUUUGUAACAUAGUUAGAAAAUUUAAAAAUAGAAAAUUAUUAAAAUUAACUUAAAACUGUGAAAUAAAAUAAGUUUUUAUUGUUUUACUAAUAUAAUCACUUCAUUACCUUUACCAUGAGAUAAUUGUGAGUGGUGACCACACACAUUUCCACUUUUAUCUUUUCUUUAACAAAUGGGAUUUUUUUUUUGGUGUAAUAAUGCAGAUUUUUUACUAAAUUUUUGGUGUUGUUCUUUUACUGUAUUUUCAAAAUAAAUUUAAUUUUAAUAAAAUUAUAUUUUAAAGACAAAGCAGAGUAACAACACUGUAAAAUCACGAGAAUCCAAAUUUCAUGAUAUGAUACCCAACGUAUUCAGAAAACACAGUGGAUUGGAAAUAUCUUUCCAAUAAGACAAAAGUUAAAUAUUGCAUAAAGUUGUUAAGAAAGUAAAGAUAAAAUUAUAUUCAAUCUAAUAAAUAAACUACACUCUCAAUACUUUCUUUUACCUUAUCAUUAGAAAAUGUGUGAUAAUUAACGUAAUAUCCAUGAGGUCGAUAUCUAUUACGAAGUGGAAAAGCCUAACUCAACCCCAUAAAAUCGGUUCAUAGGGAUAAAAUCGGUUCAUAGGGUUGAGGUUUGCACCCACUUAUAUAUUAUGAAAGGCGGAUCUCCAACACACUCCCUCACGCCGAGAGUGAUAGAUAGAAGCUCGUGCGUGAGACUAUAUAUUAUGGGUGGUCCGAUAGCGGGUGGCACGAUAGGCCCAACACAAACACUCGCUAGGAUAGGCUCGAAAUGGCUCUGAUACCAUAUUAUAAAGUGAACUUUAAUCCUAACUCAACCCCAUAAAACCGGCUCAUAGGGUUGAGGUUUGCACCCACUUAUAUACUAUGAAAGACUCUCAUCUCUAGUCGAUGUGAGAUCUCCAACAAUAUCUCAUCACAACAUCUUGCGACGACAUGAUAAUCCCUAAUUAUCAUAUUCUAAACAAUUUAUAAACUAUGAUUUGGUGACAAUACAAUUGAUAUAAAGAGAUAACUAUUUUAAGGUAAAAAGUAAUAGAUUUUUUAGUAUUGGUAUAUAUUUUCUCUAUUAUGUAGCACAGACACUGACACUGAUACGACACAGACACGGAUAUAAAGAUACGUAAAAAAUUUAAAAUGUAAGACACGGGGACACAUAUCUAUAUAUUAUAUAAUUAUAAAUUAUAUAAAUUGACAAUAAAGAUUUAUAUGCACAAGUGUGUUCCAAAUUAUUUUUGGGAGUAGAAAAUGUUUUUCAUGUCUGAUUCACAAUGAUUUGUUUCUUAUUUUUAUAAUCAUAAUAACAAUUUAUACAAUAAAGUUUGAUUUUUUAGAAAAUUAAUGUAUUCCUUCUCUUUAAAAUUGUGUUAGAAUCGUACUAGAAUUGUCAGAAAUCUAACAAAUACUUUUUGAAUUGGACACUUCACGGAUACGUGACCUACAGGUGUCAUACGAAUGUCGGUGCCCGAUACGAGUAUCAAACACUGACACGCCAUUUAAGAAGAGUGUCCGAGCUUCAUAAAAUACUGACUUGAAAAUCAAAUUUAAUGCCAAAAUCGUUCUUAUAGUAGAACAAGCACAAGCAAAAAGUUAAUGUAAAUCCAAAUUUUCCAAUCUAAUAUGUGUUUCUUCAUCAUUUAAACCGAGUUAAUAAUAUUAAAUGUUAUUCUUCUUUUUUAUUUAAUAAUGAUGUGUUUGAAUUGAGAAGAAAAUUUUGUGAAAAUUUGAUAAAGUGAAUGUCAAAACCGUCCUUACCCUAAAAUAAGCAAAAGUUCAUGUAAAGCCAAAUUUUCCAAUCUAAUAUGCAUUUAUUCAUCAUUUAAACUGAGUUAAUGGUAUUAAAUGUUAUUCUUCAAUGGUAUUAAAUGUUAUUCCUUUUUAUUUUAUUUUUUAUAAUGAUGUGUUUACAUUAAGAAAAAGAUGUGUGAGGAUUUGAUAAAUUGAAUGUCAAAACCCGUCCUUACAAUAAAACAAACAAAAGUUCAUAUAAAUCCAAAUUUUCCAAUCUAAUAUACGUUUGUUCAUCAUUUGAAUUGAGUUAAUAAUAUUAAAUGUUAUUCUUCUUUUUUAUUUAAUGAUGAUGUGUUUGAAUUAAGGAGAAUAUGUGUAAGGAUUUGAUAAAGUGGUUUAAGAGAAAGAUGCGAAAAAAAUGAUGUUGUUUGGAUUAAGAUACGCAGAGUAAAUAUGUGGAAAAGGUUUAUUGAAGUUUGUGAGUGAUAUGACGGAAUUUUUUUUAAAAAAUAAAAUAAAAUGUUAGUUUACACAUUUAUUCUUAUCUUUAAAAAUAUUUAAAUAAUAUGUACUGAUAGGGACCAGACAACCAUGAUCAUGUAUCAACAAGUCGACUGACACCACAAACACCAUUACACUUAAGUAGGAUUAAUGAGAUCAAACACUAGGUAAUGUAUCCCUAAGCAUGACCCAACUCCCUAGUUCGGCCCAAUAAGAAAAGAGAAUCUCGUACGUCAUAUACCGUGCUCUGGAUAUCGAGUGUCGAAUACUAAAUUUUAACUAAGCGUCGGAGUGUUUUUUGCAAGUACCAUUCGAGUUUGGACUUGUGGAGACCGAGAGGUAGAACAACUAGAGAAGAGCAAGGACCCCACUUUGAGAGGAAGGAAGGAAAACUUGACCGACCAAUCAAAUAGUGUUGCAAUCGUUCUUUUGGUUUCAACCCGUUUAAAAAUAUAAUAUAUAUUUUCUUUUAUAAAUUCAAGUUAAUUAAAAUUUUAUAAAUUAUUUUCAAUAAAAUUGAAUAACUAUUUUGUAUAUUUUAAUUAACACCUCCUUCACAUCCGUGAACCAAAUUUAAAGUAUGCACACAUAUUCGUAUUCUCCCACAGUUGAAACCAAACGCAGCCUAAGGAAAAUAGUUUAAUUUAUUUGCCGUUUUCUUGCGCAGAGUGAAUAAGUUAGAAGAAGAAGAAAACAAAAGAAAUGAACAACAUGCCAUUUAACUUAUUCAUUCAAAAUGCAAUUUUUCUCGUAAACAUCAAUAUACAGUUUUAAAAAACACUAAAUGAAAUACUAAACGAUUUAAUUUAUUUUAUAAAUAGGAAAAACUAAAAUUAAAUGAUAUUUUUGAAAAGGCCACUCUAACUUAUUUAUAAAAACACUUAUUUUUUCAGUGAAACCUUUUGAAAACUUAAAAAAAGAUAAAUAAUUAGCAGUGGUUCAAUUGUCAUAAAAAAGUAAUAAUAAUUAAGUUUAGUUUCAGUAUAAAAAAUUAAAUGAUUCUUUUGAGCAUAAAACUUUUGAAAACGCACUAGUAACAAGAAUGUGUAGACACGAGUUUAAGGUUUAAUUUGUUUCAUUUAUAGAUAAACAUUAACAUUUAUAAAAUUAAAAAAAUUGAAACUGUCAUGUGCCCCCACUGAGAGAGUAUACCUAAUCACCAAACCAAACGUAACUAUAAAUAUGUUAGAUUGUCAUUUAAUUCAAGCAUUACUCUGAGCUAUUGCAGUGCCAGCCACUGUUCACACCACUCUCCCCAACGCCGUCGUUUUGCUCCGCCACCGCGCUUCCUUCUCGAACCUUCCGCCAUGUCGAUUCGCGAUUCCCAAGCCUUCAAUUGGCACUAUGACGAGCUCGACGACCAGAACCUCGAAAUCCGCGGCCGCAAGCUCUUCUUCAUCAUCGUCCUUUUCUCCAUCGUCCUCCUCUUCACCGCGCUCUUCAUCUUCGCGCGCCGGAUCUGCCACCAGCACGGCCUCCUCUUCGACGCUGUCCCGUCUCACCACGCACCGCCGGUGCUUCCUUCUCAUGACGGCCUCGACGCCGCCGCGAUCAAGCGAAUACCGAUCAUCCUUCACCAGCGCGCGGCGGCGGAGGAGUCGGAGUGCAGCAUCUGCCUCGGCGCGUUCGUCGACGGCGCGAAGCUGAAGGCUCUCCCUGGAUGCGAGCACAGGUUCCACAGCGAGUGCGUGGACAAGUGGCUCGUGAAUCACUCCAAUUGCCCUCUCUGCAGAGCCUCGGUGAAACUCGAUCCUUCAUUUCCGAGGAUUUUGAUCCAAGCGCCACCCGUUAGAACCGCUCUUCCUCUCUGAUACUUUUUUUUUUUCUGUUCAGAUUAGUAAGUUAGAAACAGCUGUAGUAGUUCUCACAUGUUCUGGGUAAAAAUUUGCCUGUGUAAAUCCUUGUAAGAACUACGUAUGAAUCGCUAAGACAUAUUCAUAGUUUUCAAACAGUCUCUUUCCUUUCCUUUAUGACAUUGCUUCAAAAUUUGAUAUUUCACAAAUAUAAAUAAUUAUUUUUAAUGAAUCAAUAAAUCACCCACAUAUAUUAUAACUAUUCUUUUAAUGCAUGACUAUUAGAAUCAAUUUAGACACCCUUCACUAUAAGCGGUGCUAGUUAUCUACUUGCACGGUUUGAUAAGUUGGAUAGAAGAUUAAGAUUUGGAUAACAAAUCUGCGAUUAUGGUUUUGAUUUUAAGAAAUAUAUAACAACAUGUGAAUGGAAUAAUAUAUGUCGGAAGUUUUCAGAGUUUUUAAACGGAUUUCAAUAAAUAAUUUAGAAAAGAAAACACCUACAUUGAGAAUUAAAAACUUCAAAUAACAUGAUUAUUUUAGUGUAGUGGGAGUCAAAAUAAUUGAGUGUGGUUUAGCAUUUGAUAUUAUUACAACACGCAGAGUAUGAGUGUGUUUUUUUUUUCAGUGCUUUGCUGUAUUUUUUUAUUUGGAAUGCGUUAAUUAUUAGUCCCAUUUGCCGAAGUUGAAAUAUUUAUUGAGAAUUAAAUUAAAUAUUGAUAAUUUGUUGGAAGAUGCCAAUUGACAAAGCCAAAUAAAAGGGGUACCCAAGAAAUUCCUUCACAUGUGACAGAGGUCCAACACAUGAGUUUUUCUGAUUUUUAUAUUUUUGAUUGAGUUUUGUUGCCACGUUGGGUGAUGGAAAAGUACAAGACCAAAAGCUCAUAAUGUUAUUUGCUUGCUUGCACCCUCAUCCAUACAAUAUUAUGCUCUAGUAUAAGCUAUGAGUGAAGGUUGUGUUUGGAUUGUGCAAAUAGAUAAUGGGUGACUUUUGAAUAAAUUGGGACCCAAAACAGGGAAAAGUGCGACUAUGCUAGGACCCUUCAAUCCAAAGUCCUAAGUCCUAAGACCUAAGACUUGUUCUAAUUUAUAUUAUGUGAAGACUUAUGCUUAAUUUAUAGUAUAUGUUUUCUCUAAUCACAACUUGCCCCCCACUUGGAUUACGCAUACAAUGCGUGUUUCAUGCUAUGCUUGUGAACACGUUUGCAGUUUUCAAACGGAAUUUUAAGUCUCUUUUAUAGAGAAGCUGCGCAAGCAAUUCUACUUUUACAACUUUAUAACAUAUUUUUUUAGGGAAUCGAACUCAGAUAAACAUAUAAUAAUUAAGCUUAAGUUCAACAGAAGUUCUGUCAAUAAAAUUAUACUCUACUAUUUAUUAAAUGUUUAGAAUUAUGAAAUCUUAAUCUUACUAUGUAUGUAGACAUGUUUGCAAUAAAAUAGAUAUUUUUCAAACUUUAGUUUAUUUAUGUUUUUUCCAGGUUUUUCAAAUGAAACCAGUGGAGAUAUUUAAGGAAUAAUCAAAGGACUACCUUUUUUUUUUUGUUUGAUUAAAAGAACAACGUUUUGCUUAACCGAUAAUAUAAUAUCUCACAAAAGGAAGUACUCGCAUCUUUCUUAUUCUUUAGAUGAAAAUAGUAAAUUAAAUAUUCUACUAGUAAAAGAGAUAAACGAUUUUUUUUAUAACAAAACAUAUUGCUAAGAAAAAAAAGACGAUACAUAAAUUAGGCUAAAAAACAUUUUUUUUUUCAUAACCUAUUGUUCCUUUAUGAAGGUCUGGAGUCCAUUUUCAGUAAAAUGUUUUCACAGUAAAAAUAUUUCAUUUAUGAAAUUUAAACAGUCACCAAUUCGAACGAAUAUAAUAAAACCUUUACCUUUUCUCUUCCUUUAAAAUAUUCUCAAAGCUUUUUAGCGUAGAUCUAAAUUUUGUCUGGAUUUUUAAUGAAGGCAUCUUGUUUGUUGUAUUAUUUGAUGUCCUUUUCCUUUUAAUUCCUCAUUGGUCAUUUCAUUAUCAAAACCCAAAAAAAAGUCAUGUCUCAAAUUAAGAAUUGAAUUUAUAUUUUCUUAAAAUAUAAAAACAUUGUAUUUUUUUUAUUGAAAUACCAAAGAGGCUUAUCUAUCUUUGCAUAUGAUUCUUCAGGUAUGUGUUCAGUUUUAAUGUAACUUGUUGAAGUCAAUAGUAUUACAGACACAAAACGUCAUGUGUAUUUGGUCUUUAUGCCAUCAAGUAAAAAAACUUAUAUGUUAGCUAAAAAAGGAGCCUCUUUUAACCAUGUUUGUUUUCUUCAAGGCACCAUAAUCAUUUACAAGAACAUAAGAAUUUCUCAACUUGAUGAAGGAAUUAGUACUGUAACACCCUUUCAAACCAAGACACCUAUUUAUUUCUGAAAAACACAAGCAAAGAGGUAAGAUCAAAGAAGUAAUACAUAAACACCAUGCAAUUAACAUGAACAUUCAAGUAUUACUAUUUUUUUAUUGUUUUGACAUUCAAAAUGGCAUAAAAUCCAAUUAAACAAGGAAAAUAUAACAAUAGACAAAUUGUAUUUAAUCCACAAUCAAACCUUCAAUUCUACCAUGUAUAAUAAUUCAUCAACAUCAACAUUUCCAUCUCUAAACACUACUAUAUUUUUAUGAUUUCAUAUACUCAAAAUCAAUGCUACCCACAUAGUUUUUCAUACUUGAUUUUGGUUUUUUUUUUAAUGUGGCAUUUGGAACAGCUCAAAAUGAGCAAAGAGACUAUUGUGGAGGACAAUCUAGACUCUCACCCAAUUCUAACAAUUUUCAAGCUAUAUAUGCUACCUUACAUUCAAGAAACAAGUGUUGUACAUUUUCUUGGCACAUUUGACACAAUGCACACGAUUGGUUAAUGAUAUUUCCCCCCCUUCUACUUAAGUCUAGAAGGUAAUCUGUCAAGAAGCAUCCUCUAGGAAAUUACUUAAGCAGAUAAGGAUGCCUUCACUUCCCAAAAACCUUAAACAAAUUGUUAUUUCCAAUAUUAUCACUAUUACGUAUGACCUCAUAAACUAACAUAGUCUUCCGAAGCCAUUUCCAAGAGUCAAAUCUAUCCCUAUCUAGGUAGACAAAGUUUAAUUUUCUCUCUCCCAUUCAAAUAAUGACAUUCUCCACACCAAAUUCCAAUUCCAUCCUCCAUUAGACCAAAAACCAACUUCCCCUACUAAUUUACAAUGACUCACAAAUAUGGAAAAAAGAAAUAUGGAUUUGAGAUUAGAGUUUACUAUCCAUUCAUCCUCCCAGAAUCUGAAUUUGUUAAUUGAACCUAUUUUGCCAUGUAUUACCUUAUGAAACCAACCAUCAUUGUUUCCUUCAUUAGAUAUUUUACAUAUAUCUCUCCACCAAAUUGGUUGUGUUCAUCUGCCUCAUAUCUAGAUCAAAGGACAUCUUUCCUUUUUUUUCUUCAGAAUCAUCCAACAAUCUCCAUUUCCAUUUUGCAAGUAAGGUCGUAUUAAAAUGACUUAUGUCCUUAAUGCCCAUAUCUCAUUCGUCCUUUGAUUUGCGUAGUUUCUCCUAACUAAUUCAUGCAAUUUUAUUAUUUUCACUCCCCCAACAUCAAAGAAGUUUUCUUUGUAUUUUUGUAAUUUCUUUACACACUCUUUAGUGCCUUAAAAGGGAUAAAAAAAAAAUACAAAAAUAAGCACUAAAAACAUACUUAAUUAGACAAAAUCUCCCGAUAAAAGAUCAUUUACAUUAAUAUACAAAUCAAUUGGAAUACAAAUAUAUCAUUAUAUCAAUAGAUAUUAUCUAAUUAUUUUUUAAAAGUUAAGAAUCAAUGAAAAUUCAAAUCCAUGGUGAUAUAAAAUAGACAGAUAGAAAAUAUUAGUGAUGUGAACUACUACCAUCAUACAUUAUACAAUGACCAAGGAUGUUGCAAAUGGUAACGACAAAACUGCACAAUAUUAGAAAUAUAUUUUAUUUCUACUUGAAUUUUUGAAUUCCAGUAUAAAUGUAUAAGUAUUAAAUGCAACUUCUAGAUGAGAUUCUUGUAAAUUAUUUGAUGAUAUUUUUAUAUUUAGUAACAAUUUAUUAUCUAAAAUAAAAAGAUUAAAAAUUAAUAAAUUUGAAUUAACUUAUAAAAAAAUCAAAUAAUUAAAAAUAAAAAAAAUUAAAUUUAAUAUAUUUAAUUUUUUAAAAAAACUUGUCAGACAAUAUUAAGUUAGAGACAAAAAUAUAGAAUAUAAUUAUGUAUAUUCUAUGUUUUUACAUAUUAAAAAAAAAAUAUUGUGUAUCUUCACGAGUAUAUCACUAUAAGAAAUAAUGAUGGUAGAGUCUCCAAAAGAGCGACACAAAGAGUAAAAGAGAGACGCUACAUGGGGUUAGUGUGGGCUUAGCGUCUCAAUAGAAAUGAAAGUUAAUCUUUUGGUGGCUAUGCAUUAGAGAUGACCUCCAAUGGGAUACAAAUUUACAAGGUAGUGUUGGCUAAGCCUACAUAAAGAAAAAUAUAUUAUUUAACUAUAACAUAGGUUUGGGGGACACUAAAAUUGAUAUAAAAUUAAAUAAUUAUUAAGAAGUGAACUUUAAACCUAACUCAAUCUCAUAACACACAUCUCACUCACAUCGAGGCUACAAACUCGUGCGUCCGAUAAUGGACUGAUAGCAAUUGGCAUGAUAAGCCCAACAAACAAUAACUAGGAUAAACUCGAGAUGACUUUCAUACCAUAUUAAGAAGUGGACUUUAAGUCUAACUCAACCUCAUAAAACCAGCUUAUAAGGUGAGGUUUGCACUCAUUUAUAUACCAUGAAAUGUCCAAGUCUGUAAUCGAUGUGGGAUCUCUAACAAUAAUUAACUUAGCGCCGCAGUUGGAGACAUUACGUGAGAAAGCAAAUGUGAGUAAAUAUUAGUGCCACCUAUACCUACUCUAAAUGUAAUAGAAUAUUAACUUGCAUCCACUUCGUAUCCUCAUUCUAGACUCAAUAUUAUUCUGUCAUUUAAUUUUUUCAUUGCAUCUACUUUGUGUCCCCAUUCUAGACGUUAACUUAUUAUUAUUUUAAUAAUUUUUAACUUACAUCCAUUUUGUGUCCCCAUUUUAUACUCAAUAUUAUUUUGUCACUUAAUUUUUUUCAUUGCAUCUACUUUGUGUCCUCAUUCUAGAUGCUAACUUAUUAUUAUUAUUUUAAUAAUUUUUAAUGUGAGUUAUGAGUCUUUAUUGUUGACACAAUAUUUGACAUUUAUUUUUGUAUCAAACUUGAGUAGACUUUAUCCUUGUUAUUGACUUCCUUUUUAUAACCUUCACCUUUUGUUGACAGAUAAAAUGAAUUUUUCUUGUAGUAUAUAAAAUUUAUAGCUGUAUUAAAAAUAAUAAGUUUUUACUAGAAAGUUCAUAUAAGCAGUACUGAAUAAGUAUUAAAAGAAACUAUAAAAUAACAUAGUCCCGUAAGAAAACAGCAGCUUAUAUUCUAUAACAAGAUGGAACCUGAAAAGAUGAAAUCAAUAUCUAGAUUUAAAAACGGACAAAAAGAGAUAAAUUCGUGGUUAAUACCUACUAUGUAGCGCAUACAUUGAUACGACACGAACGAAAAAUACGUAAAAUUUAUAAAAUGUAGAACACGAGACACGAAUUUAUAUAUUAUAUAAUUAUAUAAAUUGACAAUAAAGAUUUAUGUGUACAAGUAUGUUUCAGAUUAUUUUUUAGAGUAGACAGAUGUUUUUUAUGACUGGUUCACAAGGAUUUGUUUCUUAUUUUUAUAAUCAUAAUAACAAUUUAUACAAUAAAGUUUGAAUUUUUAGAAAAUUAAUUUAUAUAUAUAUAUAUUUUUUAAAUUAUGUUAGAACCGUACUAGAAUUGUCAGAAAUCUAAUACUUUUUGAAUUUGACACUUCACAGAUACGUAUCCUACAAGUGUCGGUGUCCGAUGCCAUUUAAGAGGAGUAUCCGAACUUCAUAGAUUAAUACUAUUAAACAUAUAAAAUAAAUAAAUAUAAUUUUUUGUACACUUAAAACAUAAGUUUUAUUGAAAUUAAGGAGAUAUUAGAUCCACUAAAAGGGGAAACAACCCUUUUGUCGUUAUCGAUUUGAGCCAUAUUAGAUAAUAAAUGCAGAAGGCUACACAUUAAUUAUUUGGACUACACGUGAAUAACACAGGUCCUCUUGCUUUUGACUUCAUGCACAUAUCUGAUGAAAUGACCAAGAAAACCAACAAAACUACGAAUUUGAUUGAAAGCCUCCAUCUUCUGUUUAUAAUUUUUUUAAGUUGUGAUCAUCUUUACUUCGUAAAGUGAAAAUUAUCAAUCAUUAUGUUCUAAUUUUUUUUUCCAGAAAUUUCCAUUUUAUUAUAAACUUUUAUAUAAUAUGAGUGGGAAAAAUAAUUUUCCUUUUGCUUGUGGAACCCUGACUUAAUCCCUUCCAUUCAAAAGACACAUGGUGAUUGUUGUGGUAGAAGGAGUUGAAACAUAUGUUUUACUAUUUUGUUGAAGAGAUCAGAAUUUACUUAAAUACGUUUUAAAUUCCUAUGUAAUAUUAAUUUUUGUUUUUAGUCAAAAUUUUAAUUUUUUUAUGAUUGAAAAUUAUUAGAAUAAAUAUUUGAUAAUGUUAAUUUUUUAUGUGAUAAAUAAAUUUUUAGUAUAAAACAUAUUAUAACAUUUAACUCAGCAAUGAAUUAUGGUGAUGAUAGUUUAGAUAGUAAAACAAACUUGUCUAUACUUAUACAAUGAACAUAUAUAAUGUACAUCUAAUUAACUUCUCUAUAUCUAAAAUUUAUUUGUAAUUAUGAAAAACUUAUUAUUUUAUGAUAUGUUAUUAUAAUUUAUUUAUGGAACUUAAUUUUUAGCUGUACUUAUAAUCAUGCGAUAUUUUUUAUUAUAAUUAUUUAUGGAACUUAAUUUUACCUAUAUUGUAAUUAGGAGAUAUUUAUUUUUCUGAAAAAGGGUGUUUGCAAUUAUUAAAUGCCUACUAUUUGGGUUCUUAAACUCAAAUUAAAAGGAACAUCUAUUUAACCUUUUCUUUCUCAAAAAAUUAUAUUGUUAAUUUUAUUAUUAUUAUAAUUAUAAUUAUAUAAAGAUGAAUCUAACUUUUUUUAUAUAUUUAGUUGGAUAAAAGUGAUAUUUUCCUUUAUAUAUAGAUGUAGUUGACAAUUAGAAUUAUAUAAUUAUUUGAAUAAAAUAUAUGUGUAUGCUGAAUUUUGUAGAUUUAAUUAUUUUUAUUAAAUCUCUAGAUAUAGGAUUUAUCACUACUCGUAAUAGAUAUAUACACAUCCAAAUUAUUAGAAUAUUUUUCCUAUUUUUUCUUCUUCUUAAUUUUAUUACUUAUAACAAAACAUGUUUAAUAUUAUAUUAAGAUAAUAAGUUAUCAAAACAUGGACACUUUAGUCCAAAAUUAAAAAUAUGUUGCAUCAAAUAUAAUAUUUUUUGAAUGAAAACUUAUCAAAACUUAAACUUUUAAAACAUAUAAUUAAAAAUAUAAUUUUUAAAUCAUUAUUUCUCUAUUAAAUUUUAAGUUUGUUAAUGUUUAUAUAAAAAUUUAUAGGGCAUAAUUUAUAACAUUUAUGACUUAUAUUAACUAAAAAUAUAAACUGUUAUAUGAUUAUCACUGUUACUACUAUUUUAUUUAUUUUCUCGAAUUUACAGAAAGAUUUUAAAAUAACCGAUUGUUGCAACUUGCAUUUUAAGUUAAAGAAUUAAUAAAACAUCACAUUUCAUUAACUAAUCUUCCAUUUUUAUUACUAAAAAUUCUUAAUUAAAUUAUGAAACUUGAUUCAAUAACUGUACAUUUUAUUAAAUUUAUUAUUAGUAGUUUUAAAAUUUUGAUUAAGUGAAGAAAAUAUUUAGAAUAUUGCGUCUUUAAAAUCCCAAAGAGGACAUGACAUCCAAUUAAUUUUAUCUAUUAAUUCAUACUCUAUUAACUUUUAACCCUCUAUAACAAUUUUAAAUUACAAAAAUAUUAAUUUAUAUUUAAUUAUACUAUGAAUAGAAUUUUUAAUUGUAGAGAAAAUGUGAGACCUGGGCCUAGGCCCAUUUACCUCCAUCUUUCCAUCUUAUAUUUUCUGACAGCUCCUUACUGUCUAUUUUCUUCUUCAUUUAACAAAGGUAACAUUAGCUUGGGGCUGUUUCUCAAUAUUUUGGAAUAUUUUUUAUUUUGCAAUAUUUGAUCCAAAUUAUAGAAUUUUAAAAAUAUUUUUAAAAAUAUUUUCUAAAUUAUAGAAUUCCAAAGAUAUUUUUAUAAAUAGUUUCUGAAUUAUACAAUUUAGAAUGUGUAAUUUUUUUUAAAAAAUAUUUUAUAUAAUCCAAAAAUUGGAUUCUACAGGAUGUUUAAAUAAAAAAAAAUAUUUUAAAUCAGAAAUAUCUUUCAGAUUUUAUAUUUUAUAAUUUUUAAAAAUAAAAUAGUCUUUUUGUCUGAAAAUUAGUUUUUUCGUCUGACUGACGUAUGGAGUGUUAGGAGAAACAAUAGAGGUGCAGGAAGAAAAAGCCUAACCUGGGAUACAUAUUGUUAUUGCUAAAACCUAUCGAAGCCCAUUGAUUAACGAUGGGCCUUUCGUUAGAGCCCAAUACUUGCUAGGGUUUCUUGUAGGCUAUAAAUUGCUGCAUCAGUAAGAUAUAUUUUCUUCUUAGUUCUGUUACUUCUCAGCAGCAAUCGGCUAGGGUUCGGAGUCAAGAAGGGUUCAGAGUUUGUUCACCAUGAGGGCCAAGGUAGCUUCACUUCUCCACUGAUGAUUCCUUCACUUCCUUUUUCUAUUGCUUUUCUGUGGCGCGGUUCAGUUUUUGAUUACGAUCUCUCUCUCUUUUUGUAGUGGAAGAAGAAGCGUAUGAGGAGAUUGAAGAGGAAGCGCCGAAAGAUGAGACAGAGAUCCAAGUAGUGCGUUAAUUCUAGUUUGUUUCUGUUGGUCUUUACAAUUAUUUAUGUUCUCGAAGGUGAAACCCAGUAGUUAGUGUUACUGGCAUCUCCUUUUUAUGUUUUGAUACAUUUUGUUCGCUUUAAUUAGUUGAUGUUUGGUUUUGUGUCAUUAGUUUUGAAACAAUGUUCGAAUCAACAGAAUUUCAAAUUUGCAUUUCUGAUUUUCUCUUUUCUAUUUGGCCUAGACGUUGCCCUAAAAUUUGUUAGGGCAAUUAUAAUUUUGGAUUAUAUCUACUGCACUUUCUUUAGAUUUAAUUAUUUAAUUUUCUGAUUCAAACAUCUAACCGCAAUGCUAGAUCAAGUUUAAUCAUGUAAUUGUUUUUUGAUGGAUAGAAAUUUGAAGAAAUUGAUUUUUUUUUUUUUAAAUUUCCUCAUACAUUGUUGCAUUGUUACUUCCAGUUUCUUUUAAGUUUCUAUCUGUCGUUUAAUCAAUGCUAGACAUAAUUUAAGAAACAUGAUUGAGUUCAUGAUAUUUUGAUUCAUAACAACUGAAGGAAAUUGGAACUUGUUUUAGUCUUUCUGAGUAAUAAUCAAGGAAUUUAGGCACGAUAUAUAAGAAGUGUUUGUUUGUUUUUUACGGGAAAUUCUAUUUAAUGUUGACCAAUUAACAGUUCAUGAAUCUACUAGUUUUUGAAAAGUGAAGCUCCAGUGUUAGCUCACAUUAGAAAACUCAUAAGUGAAAUUCAUAUAUUCAAUGAUUUUGUUUUCGAGCGCCUUCUGAAAUUAACAUCAACAGCAUGCAUAUGCUAGAAUGUAUGGUUUUUCAGUUUAUGAUUUCGUUUGGGUUGUAGAACAGAGCAUUGAAGAAUUAUUUCUUUGCAUUGUUCAUGUUGGAAAAGUAGAGAUUUUAUCGUUUUUAAUUUUUAUUUUUUGUAAUGAUUGGAUAGUAGAAUUUUAUUUCUUAAAAAUGAGUUGAUUUUCCAUCUCACUUCUAUCAUUUUUCUAUUAUAACAUUUUUCAAAAAUAAAUUUUAUGAUUUCAAAUAAAUGUAAGAUAUACAAAUAAAGAUGUUUACAAUAAUUCCUAAAUCCAAAAUAUUAUUUUACUGUAGAUUUUAUAUAUAUGAGCUGUUUGUUUAAAAUUAAAGAAUCAAGUUUCAGAUUUUUUUAAAAAAUUUUUGUACAAUGAUAUCUUUGUAAAAUGAUUUUAUUAUUUGUAAGUAGUCAUUCCUAUUGAAAAUACUCUGGCAUUGUUAUAUUGUUUCUUUAACUAAAAGAAUCUAAUUAUUGUACAUCAUAUAAUAUGAACAAUGUAUUAUUCUUUUUCAAUCCUAAUUAAAUAGAUGAAAUAUUAUUAAAUCUUAUGGUACAAUGUGAAUAUUUGUAACUUAAUUGGUGCAUAAUUUAAAAUAAUAAUAGCAAACUUAACUAAUAACAUGCUAUGAAAUAAGAUCUAAAGUAAGUAAACUAAUCAAUUUUUUUAAAAUCACUUGUUAAAUAAACAAAGAAAUAAAAUCAAGUUUCUGUUAGUACUCCUAUAUGCUCCCGCAGGAUGGAGGGGAUUGCAUUGCACCAAUCAUGCAUAUCCGAAAGAUUGUCUCGCGGUUGAGAGCUGUUUAGUGAGUAAAUUUCCGAGGUUGUGAUUGAGAGGCACUUAAGUCAAUUGCAAGAUGCUUCAUACUGGAGCGAAAAAACAGAAUUGACACAUAAAUCAAAUGGUUGGUGAAUUUGGAUUGUAUAGAACUUGUUCUAGCCAAAGAAUUUUAGUCGUUGUAAAACCAAUGGUGUGCCUUUUGAUUGCUUUGUGAAGUUUCUGAACAUGGUUUUGAAAAUUCAGAUGAACAAAACCGGUAGGUUGAGAUAUGUAAACCCCCUCAGUCACUGUCGUGUAAAAAGACAUUAUUGACAUCCAUUUAGCUGAGAGUCUAGCGAUUUGAGAUGGCAAUGCAAAACACAAGCUUGAUAACAGGACUAAGGUUUCCUUGAAAUCAAUGCUUAGAUGCUGAUGAAAACCUUUAUCAACUAAUCGUGCCUUGAAAUAAGCAAUGAACCCAUACGUACUCCGCUUUAAUCAAAACACCCAUUGCAAUGGUGUUGAGGAGGGGCAAGAGACCAAACACACGUUGGUUCCACAAAUGGAGGAAGUGGGUAUUUGGUGACUGAAAAUAACAUUUUAGGUUUUGAAAUGGCUGUUUUCCCUGGAGUAUGGGAUGGUGGGUUUAGUCUCUGUUGGAAUGUAGGGUUUGGAUACCUCAAACACUUGAUGGUAAUGAGGAUAGUUGUUGAAACAUGAUGGGAUAAGGGUAGUGAUAUUAAGUCUAGGUGUGAGUAUAUGUUGUUUGAAAAGCAUAUGGCCAAAAUUGAAGAGGGAGAGAAGCAUGAUUAGACGAAAUUGUACAUUAUUCUCUGUUAUUUGAUAGUGUUUUCGUUCAGGUAGACCAUUAUGUUCAGGAGUUUGUGUAGAAGUGGUUAAGUGGGUAAUGCCAUUAUGUUCAUUGCAAGCCAUGCAUGAUGAGAAGAGUCAACAGAUGACAUGAUUGAACGUACUUGAGGAUCACAUGAGCCAAGAAGAGCAAGAUAAAUAACUUAGAAAAAAAAACUCGGGUUAGUUAUUGUAGAAUCACAGCAAUGAGAAGAGACCUAACAUGCUUGAACCAUGUAUAAUAAUUAGAAGAAUUAAGGUUGAUAGGAAGUUGAGUGGUACUAUUAUUUGAUACAAUAAUGAGAGGGAAACAAAUUUAAAGAAAAGUAAAAAUAAAGUCCUCUUUCUUCUUCUUCUUCUUAAUUGUUAUUGUUAUCAAGAUUAUCUUGUUGUUAUUCUAGUUAGUAUUAUCAUGAUCAUUUAACUUAAAAUACAAAUAUAUAUCAUUCAAAAUAAUAAUAUUUUAAUUAGAUUUGUUUUAUUUUUAAACUUAAAAUAUGAAUAUAUAUUAUUAUGUUAUUAAAAUAGUUGAAUAUAGUUUUUCUUCUCAAAAUUUGUGCGGUGGAAAAUUUAUAUGAAAAAUAAUCUUUAAAAAAAUUACAUUCACUUUAUAACUCACAUUUAUAAUGUAAAUUAAUAUUUUAAAAAUUAAAAAAUAAAGCAAAUAUUAUUAUUUUGCUUGUAAAAUGAGUGUUUUAUUUUUGUAUCAAAAUAUCAGCACUCAUAUAUUUACCCAUCUUAGAAUCAUCAAUCUCGUUUAAAACUGAAUGUUAAUACAAAUAUUAAACCCUGGUGAUCAUGGAAGCUUAGAUCUUAAUUAAAAUUAGAUCCCAAAUAACUAAAAAAAUAUGUAAAAUGAGAAACCAGUAAAAAAGUAAAAAUAUUUUAUUUGGGAUGAAACUUUAACCCAGGAUGAAUGAUUUCAUGUUGCCUUUGAUGACGCAAACUAUCAACAUAAUUCCGAACCUCAUCAGCUAUCAUCUGCUGCAUCAUCUGCAGAAAGUAAUCUUGAUCCGAAGCCGUGUUAAUAUUAUUCACUUCAAACUCUUCUACUUCUCUUUCUUCCUCCUUUUCUUCCUCUUCCAUCAUUUCUCCCUCCGAUUUUUCCCCAGACGGAAAAAGACUCAACGGCUUCAUAAGGGGAAUCGCCAUGCACUCUUCCUCGUUUUCCUUCUCCACACGCUGUUUCUUCAGAGGAUAGCACAACUCCAAGGGAGAGGGCCGCUUGGUGCUCGGCGAUGCCGCCGACGACGACGAGGAGUGCUCCGUCGUGCCACGGCGCCGGAGGGUGGAGUUCCAGUGGUUCUUAAUGGCGUUGUCGGUGCGUCCAGAGAGGAGGCGCGAGAUGGUGGCCCACUUAUUCCCGUGAACAGCGUGAGCCUUGAUGAUGAUCUCGUCCUCCAUCGGACUGAAGGGGCGAUGCCUCACGUCCGGGCUGAGCUGGUUGCACCAUCGCAACCGGCAGGACUUGCCGGAGCGCCCUGGAAUGCCGCUGCUGAUGACGGACCAGUUCCGCGGGCCGUGCUCGUUCACCAAUUUCAUUAGCGUGGCGUCCUCCUGAGGACUCCACGAGCCCUUCACGCGAUCGUCGCCGCCGUCCCUCAUGGUAGCUUUCAUCGGAAAUGUGACACAGAGGCUGGUGCGCGUGGUUGUUAUUAUUAUUACGUUAAUAUUUUGGGUUUUUCUGUUAGUAAAUGAAUGAAUAAAGAUUCAGUUGGGAAGAAGCUUGAAACUUAAAAAGUGUAACCGUUUUUUAAAUACCGUGGAAGGGAAGGUUUUUAGUUAGUAUUUGGGUGGUUUCGGUUCUAACUAAGGAGGUAGGUGGUGGAAGUUUACAGGUAGGUUUUUAACUUUUCUGAGGUAAUUAAUUUUUUUCCGGCACUUUUUUGAGGUAAUUGAUGGAUUUAUGAAGAGAGUGGGCUCCAGAAUAUUAAUUAAUUAAUAUGGAAGAAGUUAUAACUUUCACUUUCUCUAACCUCUUCAAAUUGUUCAAAACUCCAAUUUUUUAUAACUUACCACUUCUAAUAUUAUUAUUUUAAUAUUUUGUAUAUUAUUUAAUUAUAAAUUUAUCUUUUAUUAUACAUAUUCAUUUUUAAACUCAUCACAUUAUAUAAACUCUACACUCAAGAUUGUGAAAUUAUUAUUUUCCAUUCAAAUAACGUUUUUUCCUAUAUAAACUCUAGCAAGGAAAGAGGAUAGUUUUUGACCCCUUUAUUUGUUGGAUAGUGUUGUUUCCACAUUUUAAUUUUAUAACGUAGGACAUUCGGUUUUUAUUUUCUAAAAUGUGCUGUUUUUAUAUUAGUUGGAUCGAAAUAAUGAGUGUGACAGUUAAGAGGAGUAUUAGGUAAAGAAAUGUUAUAUUCAGUUUGGAUUUAUUAUUUAUUAUUUAUUCAUAUACUACGGAAAACAGCAAAACACAUAUAUUACGUCUGUGGAUCCACUUUUAUAUUUUAAUCAUUUAUAUAUAAAUAUUUUUAAUAUUAAAAAUUAAAUAAAAGAUAUCAAUUAAACUAAUAAGAAUUUUUUUUUAAGAAAGAUGAAGAUAUAAAAAAAAUUGUUUUAAUGUUUCUUUUCAAGUUUAAUAAACUGUUUCGUCGUUUCACAACCUAAUUCCAUAUUUAAAAUUAAAAAUUACAGUAUAAUUAUUUUUGUUAAAGUGAAGCAAUUUUCAAUUAAUUAUAAAAAUGAUUAGUUAUUUAAUAGAUAUUAGAAAAUGAUUGAAUUAUCUAAAAAAAUCGUCUCUCCAGCUCUCUCUCAAUACAAAAGUCACUUUAAAUAUAUCAAAUGUUUUAAAAAAAAUAAAAAAUAACUUAAUGUCCAUUAUAAUAAAAUAAAAUUAAAUAUUAAUAUAAGAAUAAAAUAAGAAAAGAAUAUAGUAAUAUGUUUACUAUAUUUUGAGUUUUGAGUUUUGAGAAGUGAAAAUGAUUAUAUACACUUAUUUAAGUUUUGCAACUGUAAUUUGUUUAUGCAGUUAGACAUGCAUAUAAAAUGAUUAUAUAUACUUAUUUUAGUUUUGCAACUGUAAUUUGUUUAUUAUGCAUAUGCUGCAUAUUCUACAUUUCACCGUUUUUUCUAACAUAUGGAAAUCGAUAUCAAAUAUUUAAAUAAUAUAUUUAAUAUAUAUAUAUAUAUAUAUAUAUAUAUAUAUAAGUUAGAAAUUAUAAGAAUCAGUUUUUUAGUUAGUCAAAUAAUAGAUCUUUAUACAUAUAAAUGUUAUAAGUGGAUAGAGAUGUUAACAGUAACAAUGCACCUUUAUGGAGUAUGCAUUUUUAUAUAUAAGUGUUUUUCUUAUAUUAAGGUUAUAACAUUUAUAUUGUGCUAAUACACUCUAACAGUGUAUUAUUAUUAUUUUAGUUUUAUAAACUUAUGUUAUUAAUUAUUAUUAUUUUAAUUUUAAUUUUAAAUGUAUUUUUUUUCUUUUAUAAUAAUUUAUUUAUCUAGUUAUUAACUUUUUCAACUUUAUUUAAGUUUUUUUUUACCAUAGAAUAGUUUAUAUCAAUUAAAGAUAAGGUUGGUGAAAUUAUAUUGUAUAAUUAGAUGUAAAUUUUAUUUUAUAAAGAUGAAUUAGAUUUAAAUUUAAACGUUUGAGUAUUGUGUUAGUCAAGUUUCUCCUAUUUUUCAUAUUUAAUAUCUAUUUUUCUAUGUUAGGUGUCUCUUGAAGUAUUUUCUUUUAAUAAAUUAUUCUCCUCUAUUUCAUUUUUUUUUAUAAAAUCAUUUCACAUAAUUUGGAAAAAUUAUUGAUAUUUUUUUCUUAUACUAAUUUCCAAGCUUCAAUCCUAUUGGAAUUCUCAACUAUAUUAUUUCGUAUUAAUACACUGAACUAAAUAUAUUGUGUAGGAAAUGAAAAAAAAAGGGUAAGAAUAUAGUGAUUAAUUAUUAUUUUUCUAAAUUUAAUUACUAUUUAAUGAUUUUUUUUAAUAAUAGCGGUAGGAUGAGAAACAUGAAUAAUACUUGAAAAUAAAUAUAUGUAUGCCAAUGAUUAUAAAAUUAUACUAUGUGAACUAUUUUCAUGAGAUGUGCCACAAUGGGAUUACCAUCAAGCCUUGUUGUUCUAUUAUAUCAAAAUAUAUUAUAUCUUGCACUCUUUGAAAAUAAUUAGAAAUAAAAAUUUAAAAAUCGUUAGUGACCAAUCUUACACUUUUCUCUCUAGAAGUAUCCUAACAAUUGAAGAGAAAGAAUUUUAAUAUAGGAUGAUAAGGGAAGACUAUAUUAAACACAAACAUAUUAUUAUAAUGAGUUCAAUGUCCUAUUAUAUGUCUAAAAAUUGUGUGACAUAAUAUUGCAGGAACAUAAAUUUGGCUUUGAGCAUAUGGUUAUACAUAAAGGACUAAAACAGAAAUAUUAUAGUCAUUAAACACUACUCAUUUAAAUAACCUAAGCUUGAAAAAUGAUACUAACUAUUGAAUUGAAUAAUACCCUACUAUUAGACUAAAAAGAUACUCUUGAAACAUAUAUUGUGUGUGAAGUUGUAGGUCUUCAUCGGUUGACUUAGAAGCUGGAUGUUGGAGAACAACAUCGGGAACAGUGCUAGGAAGGAACAAUAUACAUCAAAUUCUGGUUUUAGCUAAGUCGAUAAAUCAAAACAACUUUUGAACAUGGCAAAUAAUUGGGGGGAUUUGUUUGAAACUCUUAGCUUAAUAUAUUUGAACAAGAACCACAAUCACUGAUAUUAUUCUCCAACAUAUAUUCAAUGAUUGGAAAUCGGCUCGUUAGGUUUAAUUGUGAAAAUAUAUUGUAAGGUGUAUUGGUAUUAGACGAGACUGAGCUAACUGAGAUUUCGUCUCUCUAAACAAGAUAAUCGAGACUCCACAAUAGUCUGGUCGAUCGGCACAUUAAAUCAUUAACGCUCAAAUCAAGGUCAGUGAAGCUAAAUUACCAUUAAGAAUUAGGUAAUGCAAUCAUAAGUGUGAUUCAUUCCACUAAUCAGACCCAAUAAGGUAAGCCCAUUAAAAUAAUAUAAAUAACGCACAUUCCAAGAAGAAAGGUAUGUCAUUAUCACUGAACACACCCGAGUGCCGAAUACCCUCUUUACUGACUUGAGCGUCGGAGUGUCUUCUACAGGUACUUCCCCCAUUUGGCAUUCACCCUGAGACUGAGAGUCGAAAGAGUAGCGUAAAGACCAAAAAGAUCACUGUGAAACUUUAGCAACCUGUCCGAAAGAAGGAGGAAGACGAAGACUUCAACAGUUCUUUAGGUCUCAUCUUCCUAGCAGGAACAUAAGGUUAUACCAAACUAUAACAAGGUCAACACAACUUUUUGAAUGAGGAUUGACAAAUUAAGGUUGUAAAGACCAUAUACUGAGAUAUAUUUUGAAACUAUGUG